Molecule: long non-coding RNA, 49815 nt
Filed under: Brachypodium distachyon (stiff brome)
Lineage: Eukaryota; Viridiplantae; Streptophyta; Magnoliopsida; Poales; Poaceae
Description: long non-coding RNA (BDIS_LNC004277)
Rfam family: MIR1120/MIR1122 microRNA precursor family (bases 16133-16268)
Source: RNAcentral
GAAAAUGCCAAGAAGAGCCUUCGACUACGUCUGCAACUUAUUGAAGGAGAAGUCUUGGCAAGAUGCGAACAAAUACACCUUUCCCGAUGGGAGGUAUUUGUGUUUAGAAGACGGAGUUGCCGUCGCUCUGAUAGUGCUCAACUCUGGCGAGACACCUGCAACCGUAGGAUCCUCCGUUGCUUUGAAUGAGUCAAUCGUCUCGCAGGUAACCAAGAGCUUUGUUGUUGCUAUGGACACACCAGGAUGGCCAGGCACCACUGAAAUGGAGAAGAUCAAGUACAAGUUUGACAAGAUCCGCGGCCUGCCAAACUGCUGCGGUGUUGUACAUGCAGCUCGCAUCCCAUUUGGGUCUCAAAACAGCGACCGUGAGAAGAAGAAUGAAGACAUGCUAAUGCAAGUCACCAUUGAUUCAGAUAUGAGGUUCAUAGAUGUCCACUUGGGAUCGCCAGACAACAUGAAGAAGUCAAGCAUUUCACAUGACUCUUCUCUCUUCGAGGAGUGUGAGAAGGGUACUAGGCUGAAUGGUAGCAAGCUGAAUUUAUCGGAUGGACGGCAAGUUGGAGAAUACGUGAUUGGUGAUGCCGGAUAUCCUCUUCUUCCCUGGCUGCUCACACCUUACCACCCGGAGAAUGACCUCUCAGAUUAUCAAGUAGAGUUCAAUAGGAGACACUCAGAAGCAAUGGCCGUUGUGACGAGGAGUGCACUGGAAAGAUUAAAAGACACAUGGAAGUUCCUUCAUGGAGGGAGGUGGCGUCCUGAACAUCGAUUUGAACUUCAUCAGGCAAUCCAAGCAUGCUGCAAGUUGCAUAACAUAGUGUUAGAAAUGGAGUGUAAGGUAGCCACAACGAGCUAUGGCGCCGGUAGCAAAGAAGUACGGCAGUUAGCAGAUGAGGAUGCGGCCAUGGCAAGGGAUAUAUUGUCGCAACACUUGACCAGCAAACCAUUGGAAUCUGGAGGUAAAUUAACACAACUGCUGCUGCAUCUUAAUUCCCUCAAUCUCUCUAUAUCUUUUCUCUGUCGACCUAAUUAAUGUAAUCUUCUCGUACUAAUUCAAACUUUCACUGAUAGCUAUGCAUUAUCACUAUAUAUGUGCUCUCACUUAUUUUCUCUGCCGUUCUAUAUAAGUUGCAUAGUUGUGCUUCAGUUUAGUUUGAUCUAUAUAUGUGCUCUCAUUAAUCGUCAUUAGCCAUGCAUUAUCACUGUUCAUAUGAUGUCUAUAUAUGUAGCCAUUUCGCGUUUGGGAAAAAAAAUCCAUGCUUAAGAAUGGAUUGGAAUGAUCCGGUUUUCCACAUUUAUUCCUAGUACGCUUGCAUGUGCACGUACGUGAGUUGGAACUACAUGUACGUGUUAAUUAAGUCAGGACGGUAGUGAGCGUGCUUAGGAGACAAGCACUGCGUGUAUCUAGUACAGUACUAAAGUGUGGUAUAAUGUGUGUGAAUACGAGAAGAUUACGUGUAUGUACAUACUUGAUCUAUCCAUAACAGUGCCAGUUUUCUAUACCCGUGAGCGCAAUUGAAAGAAUAAUCAAUGAACAAUAGCAGUCUAGACCCUAGUUUUGAAAACCGGACCAUUGACCAAACCAGCGAGGCUCUCGGAUCAGAUUUUUCUGCUCGAACGGCUGGUUGAUCUGGUUUGGUUUUUAAGAUAUAACACCUGAGGCCCAUGGCUUGCUUCGCGGCCCAUCUAAUGGGCUGGGCCGGACCUGUGUGUAUACUUCCAGCCCCAUGGAUUGCUCGCAGUCAACCAGGUAGAUCCCGCCUUUUCUUUUGAGCGAAGUGUCGAUCCCAUCUAUUCUGCUCCCUAGCGUUGCACCACCUUUCAUGGGCGACAAGCCCAGUAACUUCAGCUAUCGGGCCAAGCAGAAGAAACAGACGCAUGCCUGUACAUUUAGUACCACUUCCACCAGCUACUACAAGAGAUCGAAAGAAACAUCUACGAGCCUAUAAAUACAGUCAGGCGCCCGCCGAGAGUCCAAAAAUAAGUGAGGUGGGGUUGUAUAAGAGUAUAUACAAAUCCAAAUCACUCCAAAUAAGUGAGUAAUAUCUUUGAAACUGAAUUGAACCAGGCGGUUCAGCAUAAACCGUUCGAUUCGUGGUUUUUAACAAAAACCGGCCGGUAAUCUCUGUUCUGGUUCGGUGGCCGGGCACACCGAUUAAAGUAAGAUAGAAAAUACAUUUUUUUAUAGUAUCUCAUCCUUUCUCCUAUCUCCACCUCACCGGACGUCAGAACGGAGCACAGGGAGAGGGAAGAUGGCACCGCCCACGAGCCAGCAACUGCUGCUAAUCUUCAUCCCGCUGCAGGCCACCAGAACCCGAGGCCGCACAAGUGAGCUGCAAAUUUUUGACCCUUAGGAUACCUUUUGACCUUCCUUAAUUCAACCAAAUAAAUUAAAAAUUUAAAAUGACGACGCAACUUUUAGAAAAGAGUAAAAUACAUCACUAGUCUAUGAACUCAGCAAAAAUGAACACUUUAGUCCACGAAUUUGGAAAACGCACACUGAAACCCCUAAACUGGGACUACUUUGUCACUUUAGUCCAAAAACAGUUUGGCGAGGCUUAAACACGUCAUGUGGCCGCCACGUCGGCUUCGGCCAGGACAGGUUUUCUUAGGAUUUCUUUUGCAAAAUCACCAUGCCUGAGCCGCCCGCGACGGGCAAGGCGGCCAUGCCCAGACAGGGAUCCUGGGGCUUUGAGAACCACAUCGUUGCCGCAGCUGCCUCGCCUAAGGUUGCUAUCAAGUCCACAACGCUCAAUUUUGACGAGAUGACGCCGGUGAAGAGCUCGCCGAAGCCGACAUGGCGGCCACGUGGCGUUUUUAAGUCUCGCCGAACCGUUUGGACUAAAGUGACAUAGUAGUCUCAGUUUAGGGGUUUAAGUUUGCGUUUUUUGAGUUCGUGGACUAAGGUGUUCAUUUUUGCCGAGUUCAUGAACUACUGGUGUAUUUUACUCUUUUGAAAAACAAGUUCAUUUAUUUGAACUAAGAAGGGUCAAAAGGUACCCUGAGGGUCACCAUGUUGCACCUCUACGCACAACCGUCUCCGCCCGCCGCCGGCACCCCGCAGACCGAUUUCCGUCGGGAAUCAAGACAGUCGCCGCUCGAAUCUUGGCCGUCACCAAACGCCGCCAACCGUGAUUGAAGCCGAUUUCGUGGCGAUUCAUGCCGCCACCGCUGCAAUUGGAACCACCGCACUCCACUCGGUCCUCCUCCCAAUGCCCAGCAGCCGCGUGGGCUUAGAGGCGCCGUGGGAGGCUGGUGCAGAGCCCGUGCGUCGGUCGGGCUGCGAGGCGGGGGCGGUCGGCGCAAGCGGCGGCCAUUGGCCGGAGACGGUGGUGCGCUGGAGGAGGACGGAGAAGACAGAGAAGGGGGCUGAUCAGUUCUGGUUGUAGGAGCUCGAGGAUAGGCUUUGGGUUUGGGGGAUAGAGUGAAGCCGUGAGGGACUGCUGGUGGAGAAGAAAAGAUAAUUGCGGGUGUUAUUUGCAAGUUUGACAUUUGAAGAGAUAACCGACGUGUGGACCCAGGCUGACGUGGCAUAAGUCAAACCGCCACGUCAACUGGUCAGAGAGGGGCAAACACACUUAGGACCUACAAUGAGCCACUAGCAUUUUCAAAGAUUUAGGACUGAUUUGUCAUCUUUACGAAAAAAUUAGGGCUGUGGAUGUAUUUUACUUCUUUUUUCCAGUAUUUGGUUGAUAUAUCAGUGUGACAGUGUGAGAGUAGCAACAAAAUAAUUGAAUAAUAGUCACACGAACAGUAUGUGCCAUAUGCAUGCUUGAGUUAGUGUACGUAUAUUCUGUUGAUAGAGUCCAGUUCAAACUGAUCUUGUGUCUAACCACACGAUUGAGUGGCCUACUCUUCUGCGUGCUUGAUCUAGCAAUUACUAGUUGAUUAACACAGAAUGGUUCUUUACUUCAGUUUUCGCAAUUACUACUAGUUAUUGUAGUUCUGAAUUUGUUGGAUGCAGUUUUAAUCCUGUCAUAGCUGAGCUGUUGCCUUCAAGUUAUGGAUUGUGAGACCACUUCUUGCAUCUUCUUCUCGUGUGCAGGAACCCUGGCUAUUUUUGAGGAUGCACAAACAUUCGAGUCUCUAUUGAAAAUGCCAAGAAGAACCUUCAACUAUGUCUGCAGCUUGCUGAAGGAAUCGUCUUUGGAAAUUAUGAACAGCUAUUUCUUUUUUGAUACGAGGUUCUUUUCUUUAGAAGAUCGAGUAGCCAUCGCUCUGAUAAUGCUCAACUCUGGCGACCCACCUGCAACUGUAGGAUCCUUUCUUGGAGUGAACGAGUCAACGGUCUCGCUGGUAACCAAGAGCUUUGUUGAUGCCAUGGCUGAGAGAGCAAAGUACCAUGUGUACUGGCCACAAUCUGAUGAGAGGGAGAAGAUGAAAUCCAAGUUUGCCAAGAUCCAUGGCCUGCCAAACUGCUGCGGCGUUUUACAUACAACUCAUGUAUCACCUGCGUCAAGAAGCUGGGACCAUCAGGAUAAGGAAAGCUUUGUACUGCAAGGCGUUGUUGAUCCAGAUAUGAGGUUCACAAGCACUUGGAUGGGACCACAGGAAGAUGACAUGAACCAGUCAAGCUUUUUGCACAGCUCUAUUCUCUUCAAGAAGUGCGAGAAGGGUACAUGGCUGAACGGCAGAUAUUCCUUCUUAUCAAUCCGAGUUCAACAGGAGACACUCUGCAGCUAGAAUCAUUGCGGUGAAGGCGCUAGCAAGGUUGGAAGACACAUGGAAGUUCAUGCACGGUGAAUGGCGUCCAGACACUCCACGUGAGAUGAUCGAUGCAAUCCGUGUCUGCUGCAGGUUGCAUAACAUAGUGAUAAGCAUGGAAGAGGGUGAAGGCAUGCCCAGUGACCAAGAGGUGAGGUGAAUUACAGCGACGAAGUGCGCCAGUUUGCAAACGAGGACGCUGUCAGGGCACGGGAUGUCCUGUCCCGGUACUUGACCAGCAGGACGUCCGAAUUUAGAGGUAAAUACACUAAUGCUCCAGCAUCUCAAUUUGUUCGUCAGGUUGGGAUAUGCACAUAGUAUUUUCUAUUUAUUCCCCUCUGUUAAUCCCUUUUUUUUUCAUUCAUUUAGUCGACCAGGUGGAUCAAAAGGUUCAACAGGAAGCAGCUCCAUCCGGCUCUGGGGAUAAAGAGCAACAAGAAGUAUACAAAAGAACAGCAGAGGAAGAGAAACGAUGCUAACUAACCAGCUGGAGAUCAGAUCGUCCGUAGUGCUUCUUAAUUUGGUAUUCUUUUUCUGCAAAAGCUUCCAUGCUCCCUGCUUCCAGCUUGGUAGACAAAUUUGAUACUGUCAUGUUUCUUUGGCAAGAAGUUCAACGCUCUUCAUUUACAUGUAUUAUGUUCGUAUGUUUAUGUUGGGUUUAAUUAAACUUUUGUGUGUUGAGAAAAAUGAAUGUGGCUGCAUGCACGGAGACUAUUUAUUAAGUAUUUCCAUCCUUGAGUUGUCGAUGCAACCUGAAGAAUCUGCAAACCAAAUGAAUGCUGAGCCGUAUUGGUGGGGACUGCUGGUUCGCAUGCGGAAAAGGUUACAGGGUCGUUUCAUACCUUGUCUCUGCUGAAAUAAUGCAAUAUUUUUUAUGCUAGCUGGACCAAUUGAGUCGUUUUUUGUCACUAGCUAAUAUAUAUAAUUAAGUCGAAAAAAAAUCAAAGAAGUUUUGUUUGGUAUCGCUAAUUGGCUGCUGGUCUAUAUAUUCACAUUCAGUAGCAUGCAUGUUGCAUGGUCUAUAUAUUCGCAGCUUUCAUUUCCGGGGGGGAAUUUCAGAGAACAGUUAUCCAAAGUGUCAGCAUUUCGAGGAAAUCUUGCUCAAAUCAACACCCCGUGGAUCCGAAUAUCCGAUGCAUCCAUAAGGUCUCUCAGGCCAACUCUCUCAGAUCAGGUACUCCCUCUUGCAGGAUAGGAUAGCACACACCGGAAAUAUCGGAACAUCUUACACUCUCCUCUUCAGUUCGUCGUACAUCGCAUCAGCUCCCUCUUCAUCAAUUUUGUUUGCGACGAUCAACGACGGGCGCUUUGUCAAGCCUUCCUGGUAAUGCUCCAGUUCCACGACCAGAUCAUGCAGCUGCUCCCAUGGCGGGUACCCUUCCUACCGUUGAGCGUGGCUGCCAAGUCGAGCACAUAGGUCAGAACUUUGGUUCUCUCUAUGUGCCUCAGGAGGGCAUGGCCAAGCCCACGGUUUUCACUGAGAAGUAGUCCUCGUAGGUUAGGCUACCGAUAUUGGGCCUAAGUGUGGUGAAUGGAUAGUCAAACUAUUUCCGGCUGAGCCCUAGAGAGAGCACUCAGCAAUGUACUCUUCCCGGCAUUAGGCAAACCAACAAGGCCAACAUGAGCGAUGCUCUUCAGUUCCAAGACAAGAAAGCUCUCUGUUCCUUGCUGUCCACCACUCAAACGGGCUAUCUCCUGUAGCCUGUUUUCUUUCGACAUUCGCACGCCCUUGCCGAUAGAAACACUCCCUAGUCCACCCUCCCCUCCUUGUGCUACAAUCAACCAUUGUCCGGGUCUUGUCAGUUCGGCGACAGAAUACUGUACGUCAUCUUCCUCCCUCUCCUCCUCCGAGUCAUCCUCGUCUUCAUCCUCCCAAAAUUCAUCAUCCUCGCUAUCAAACUGAUCCGUUUCAUCUAUCUCCACCUUAUGUUGAGUGCUACUUACAUUACAAUCUUCAGUGUUUGAAAAGCCAGUUUUGGAACCUGUACUAGAGCAUGUUUGCUUCUCCCACUGAUCGUGCAUCUAGUGAAACAGAGCAUGAUAUAUGAAAAGCAUGCAUCAAGCAAAACCAUACCCUGUGAUGUUGCAAGCUACUGAAAUCCCAGAUAGACCCAGAGCACUCAAGAAUGACAUCACCACCUGUUCCACCAUUGCCACCUGCAAUCAAUUUUCUUUUUUAUCAUGAAUAACACAAAUCACGAGUCUGGAAACUAGACUAGGUAGCAGACACUAAUAGAAACAAUUUGACAUAACGCAGCACAAUCAAACAGAACUAGUUGAACCAAAAAAAUCAGAAGACCGGUGACAAACAACAACGCAUCUAUCAAAAUUCAGAGCUCUAUCAAUUGAUAAAAAAUUGGGUUCUUGACAACUUCACAACCACGCCCAUCACUAAUUCCAUAGCCAGCGAACGCGAAAACUCUCAUCGGAGAAGGAUGGAUGGGGGCAAGAAGAAGAAGGAGGGAAAAUACCUGCAAAGGCGCGGCCUUCCCCUUCCUCUCCUCCAGCACAGAGCCAUGGUAGCUCGCCCACGCCGGGGGCACGUUGGCCGGCGAGAUGCGGCGCAGGACUAGGAGAGCGUGCUGCCGCCGCCGCCACAUCUUCUCUCAGCACGGACUGCUGAAUUCUAAGUACUAGAUUGGAAAGCCGCCGUAGGAUUAGUUGGGUGCGGUGCUCCGGCGGGCGAGAUCCAAGGCGGCGGCCAGCGGAGAGGAAGGUGCGCGAGUGCCGUGCGAGCGUGCUAGGCCACGGCCCAAGAAGAGGAUGUGGCCCGUGGGCUUCAUUUCUAUCUCAAAGAAAAAAAAAUCCGUCUCUGUCGCUCCCCAUUCCGUCGCCGACGCCGAGAGCUCCGGCCACCGCCUACAGCAGAAGCAAUUGGCUCCCUUCCUUUCCAGCAGCUUGCCCUCCUACCGCUAUAAUGUCAACAUCAAGGAUGAUUUUCAAGGUAUCCUCCCACUCCCUACAUGGCGGCGGCCGAGGAUCUAACUAAUUCCAAGGCUGACCGAGGAUUGAAUCCAUGGCGGCGCGACGGAAGGAGGAUUUUUUACCCACGGUGAGUCAUCUCGAUUACUUGUUCAGCCACCUGUUGUCCCCCCUCUUGCCGGAAGAGUACUGAAGGCUUCUUCUCAGGUCGAUUCGAUCCCCUUCUUUCCUGCCGCCGCAAAAGCAAGAAUUAAAGAAUUAAUGAAUCCGGCAUUGCUUCGCCGGCGACACAUGAAAGAAAUCCGCUGCUCAUCAGCUCCCUUUCUUUCUGUCUUGUUGGCCCGCCCAAAACCAAAAAAGAAGCGCAGUGCACUAGGCCGGCCAGGGAUAAAUUCUUUGCUUUUCCAGCGAUUUAAGAAAAAGACAACAUCUUGUCGUUGCCUUUGCUUGUCCUACUACUCUGUUGCAAGCAAAGUAUCAUCUGGGCUUGAUGAUGCAUCGAAGGAGACACAGGCCCGCACCACAUACCAUCCUACUCCAUAGGUAUUUGUUAGAAUCCAAACACAGAGUCUCGGACCAACCAACCAACCAGAGAGCAAGAAACCAAAAAAAAGUUGGAAAUGGCGAUGGUGCUGGAUGCAUUCGCGUCCUACAUCGCCGACAUGCUCAAGCAGGCGGUGGAGGACGAGGUGGGUAUGCUGCUCGGCGUCGCCGGCGAUAUCGACAAUAUGGGCGUCAAGCUCGGGGACCUCAAGAACUUCCUCGCCGACGCCGACCGGAGGAACAUCACCGACCAGAGCGUCAAGGGGUGGGUGCGGAGCUCAAGCGCGCCAUGUACGACGCCACCGACAUCCUCGACGACUGCCAGCUCAAGGCCAUGGAUCGGCAGGGCGUGUCCUCUUCGUCAUCAUGUAUGGCGUGCUGGAACCCGUUGCUCUUCUGCUUGCGGAAUCCCCUCCAUGCCCGUGACAUCGGCAUCCGCAUCAAGGAACUCAACCAGAAGCUUGACGCCAUCAAGGAGCGAAGCGCUGCCUUUGGCUUCAUCAACCUUGGUUCCUACGAGGACCGUAGAAGCAAGGUGCAACCCUCUCGGUUGUCUGCCAGCCGCGAGACAUCAGGCGAGCUUGACCGGUCUGGUGUGGUUGGAGAGAAAAUCGAAAAAGAAGGGUACAACAACCAAAAAAAGUCUCAUCUAGCUAGGCCUGGUAAUGGUGGAAAAUCCGCACCAAAGCCAACCCACACCGUGAAGUACUAAUCACAUCUCCCAAUCCACCCCGAGCCGCAAAUCUCGUCAGAAAAUCCAAACCGCACCAGACCAUUCGGGAUUUCCACCACACCCGCACCAAACCAUAUGGAAAAUGCGGUUUGAACCCAAACCGUGGAUGCUCAGCUAACACAAACAUCACGAAUAUAACAGAGCAUAUGAGCAAUGAAGUGACACCGAACAUGUAUCUAACUUGCUGGUUCAGAAUGUUGAAUCAGCACACAAAAAAUGUACGGAGUAUCUAACUUGCUGCUCUGCAGCCCUUGCUAUAAACGAUGAUAGCUGACGUAUUCUAGAAAAAAAUGAUUAAUUGAAAAACAUUACAGAUACUACUGAGACUGCUACAACAAGAAGCUGGUUUAGGAUGUUGAAUCAGCAAAGGGGGGGCUCAGCACGAAGCAAGCAUCAUGCAUGGCAGGGCGCCUCAUGCCAGAGCUGCAGACUCGGAGCAACUAGUUAAGGACCCUCCUGGGCUUCUUCCCAAUAGAUGUCUUUACAGGCCCAGCAUGUUCUUCCUCUUCAGAUGACACUUCUUUCUCCCUUGGCUUUCUUUAACAACACCACUGUAGAACCUGCAGAGCAAAACAUCUUCAAAACUUACAAAUUUGUUCAGAAAAAAGACAAAUGAGCAGGCCUACAGCCAGAAAAAUAUGUGUAUACCUGUAGGCAUUGAUGGAGAUCAAAGAUCUAGGCGACAAUCACCAUUGGGUCUUUACCUACAAAUGAAAAUGCAUAUCAGAUAAUAUAAAUAGUUGACAUAUUACAUAACUUGUUAAAAUGAUACAGUUAUACCUUCGUUCUCCGGAAGUUCAGUCAACCAAUCUUUACUACAAACCAGUGCCUCGACCAUUUCUGGCUUCAUUGAGCUUCGAUAAUCCCCCAAAAUUCUGCCACCACAGCUGAAUGCCGAUUCUGAAGAUACUGUGCUCAACGGGACAGCAAGAAAGUCUCGAGCCAUUGCUGAAAGGAUUGGGUAUUUCUCGGUAUUUGCUUUCCACCAAGCAAGAAUGUCCCAGUUCUUAUCGGAGGUUUCAACAUGCUCCUCCCAGUAGGUGUCAAGCUCAGAUUUUGGUUCUCUGAAAGCUUUCCUUCUUGAUCUGUAUUGAACAAAUUCAUUGUCCAAUUGCCUUUUACCAAGUACCGGUGAUCCCAUAUUGAUUGUGGCAUCGUGAGUUAUUGAAGUUUCAUUGGAUCUCUUCAUUUGACUUGCAUAUUGUUGAAAGUACAUCUUCAUCACAUCUUUAGCACUCUCCACGUUUAUUUCAAUGUCAUCAACAUGAUCACAACUUUUCUCAUAAAAGAAAUCCAGAUAAUCAAGAUUCCUAGUUGGAUCCAAUAUUGUGGCAAUGAUGAGUGCAUGAUUCAAUUCACUUUCCUUCCAAUAUUUAUCGAAUUUUACACUCAUUGAUCUAGCCAUUCCCUUCACAUAUUCACUUUUUAAGACUUCCUAUAAAUUUUUUCCUCUCUUCUUCUGCGAUUUUGGGGCAGGCCACACUAAUAUGAUUGAUUAGACUACUCGUGCCAGAACUGUGAGUAUUUGUCAAUUUGAGUCUACAAUACAAGCAGACGGCCUUUGGAAUCUCAUCUACGAAAACCAAAUUUGGCUCAAAAUGCUUCCAGACUUUUGAUCUCCUAGUAUUGGACACCACUAAGGUCCCAUCGGUAGAAUUACUAGUACCAGAACUGUCAGACAUAUUGCUGAUAUGUUUACAAGCUAGCCUGAAACAAUACAACUUAGCAACUUUAAACAAAACACAAACAACACUAAAAAUAAUUCUACCAACUAGGUUGUUAUUUGUGCUGCAAAGCUACUGCACUUGUGCUACAAAUCAUCAAGAGGCAAAAGAAACUAGGCAAGCUGCGUACAUAAUCCAAAAAAAUUGCAGAUACCUGUACUACGUCUCCUCCUUCUGCGUAGAUAAUCAUAAGUCCUUCUCCUUCCCUUAUGAAUUGUGACCCCGAGUUCUACAAGAAACACACAAUGAGAUCAAUAAUCCAAAAAAAUUGCAGCUAACUAAAUAUAUUCUUUAAAAAAGAUACCUGUACUACGUCUCGUAGGAUCUGCAGAAGCUUAUUGGCGAGCCAGGCGUCAAAAUCCUCCACAGACGAAGAGGAGGCAGAGGACGUCGGCGGGCGUGGGGCAGCCGGUGACGCAGUGUACUACCUGCAGCCGGUGCCGCAGUGGACAAAGGAAAAAAAAAACAGUUCUUAAUCAACCCCCAAGAAAGAACAAAACAAAUCAAAGAUCGAAAAUAAGGAACAAAAAUUCAGAUUGUUACGGCGGCUUGGUACGUAGGGGAAGGAGCUCCGCACACCGAGAUGGAUCUACAUGGAAGGGAGGCAGGGAGGGCGAGCAUGGCGGCGGGCGUGGAUGAGCAGCUCGGUGGAGGGUCUUGGACCGGGACAAGAUGAACUCCGAGAUGAGCGCCACGCUGCCGGAUCUUCGUGGGAGAGGCGGCGAGAUGGGCUUCGGCCUGAGUGUGGAGGAGGGGGGUGGGCGUGGUGCCGUGAUAGCCGGAGGGUGGAGGGGGCGAGUUGCCGGCGGUGGAUCUGAAGGGUGGCGGCGCGAAUCGGGAGAGAAGAGGGAAUCGGGGGGAGAGGAAUCAGGAGUCAGGGUGGACGGGGAGAGACCAGGCCAGACCAAUCCAAACCGCAUAUUCACUUACACCAAACCGAUCCAAUCCAAAUUUUUUUUCUAUCCAUUCGGAUCCGCACCAACAAAACCUGUUUGAAUACCCGCACCGUUACAACCAUCUUGAUCCGCACCAUUACCAGCCCUACAUCUAGCACAUGAUGAUCGUUUGUUUGGCCUGGGCCAGGCUGGCCAGAUAUAUGGUAGGUGGGCUAGAAUGCACAUGAGCAACCAAAAAAAGUAUCAUCUAGCACAUCAUGAGUAGAUGGAGGCAGCCAAACAUCACACAUUAGCUCACUAUGGUCUACCCCCAGCGGGCCUGGCUGGGAUGUUGGUGUGGAGGCAACCAAACAUGCACCACGUAAGGUGUUUGCUUCCGGUUGUGUUCUUUCUUGGCUUUGUCUUCUUUUCUAGGCUAUCCGUUCGUGGAUUUUCUUUUGUUUUUUUGUUAUAUUUUUCAAUCUCAAUACUCAUAGCUUUGUUGAAUGAAUUAGUUUGAAUAGCAGGAGUUGUGAUGUUGACUUAAUAUGAAUGUAACUCUAGAUCCAUUAUAUUAUAUGGCAGAUUCAUAUUUAAAAAAUGUGCAACCUUACUACUGAAAUUGAACAAUUUGCUUCAAUUUUGUAUUUAUAACAUAAAUCCAUUGUUGACAUAUUUGCAUACUAAGUUUUGUACUUGUAUUAAUUAUUAGAAUUAACAUGUUUUAUUACCUAGCAUAUUAUAAUGAUGAUAAAUAUUAUUAUUAUUGUUAUUAUUGUCAUCUCCAACUGCAACCUGCCAUCUCCUGCCUUAAACCAGCCGUUUCUUACCUCAUGUGUGGGAAAUGCACCCCCGGUCCACGGGCCGGGCAUCCGUACACCGGGCAUGUACUACAGGAUGCUUCACAAAUGCACUGCACCGUGGAGGCAAUGCAUUUGUGAGCGGGAGGGAGCGCAUCCGCAUGUUGCCGGUGCACCGCCACAGGCAUAGUGAGUGCAUUUCUGAGCGGGAGGCAGUGCACCACACCACCGUGGGCGAAGUUGCUGGUGUACCACCGCCGGCGCUUGACAGUGCAAUUGUGAGGCUUGUGUAGUGCAUUGCGCCGCUGCCGAUGAAGAAAUUGAUGAACCUUGCCGCCGACGGGAAAAUCACCGGCGCUGAUGGCGGGCUACACAAUCGACGACAAAUUCACUAUCGAACGCCACGCGCGGCGAGAUGGAUGGUGACUCGUGGGCAGCUCUUCCGCCGGCAUUGAAAUCUCACCGGAGCACAACCGCUUGUCGUGUGCACCGCCGGUGCACAGCCUCCCCAGUGGCACGCUUGUCGCCAACAACGGUGACAGGGAAGGAGCCAGGAUUUAAGAUUGGAUGGGGCAAAUAGAAGAAGUUUAAGAUUGGAGGGUCGAAUUAAGUACAAAUGCUAGUAUUUUUCUAUUUUUCCUCAUAAAUAUCACUAGUUUUUCAUUAAAAAAAUUGUUCUUUUUUACCCCCCCUGUCUCCGUCCCUGAACGGUGAAUCAUCCUCCCUCGCUCCGCUCCCGCGUUGCUCGCUCGUCAGAUCCGUGGGUGCACCGCGAUUUUAUACCGCGCACCUCCAACUUGUGCGAACCCUAUAAGGGAAUGAUGCAUGGUUGCAGAAUAAUUAUUUUGUAACCGGUUUCAGAAUAUAACUAAAUCGGAAUAUUAUUAGUAACUAUAGAUGAGAUUUUCAUAGAUUUAAAGGCACUAAGAGAGACCAAGAAACACAACAUGUUCUGAUGUUAGUAACUCAAGCGACGUCCCGGUUACCAAUCCAUUGACUUGAUAGUUCAAUUCAGGGAGCACAUUCAAUUGUGUUUUCUUUGCUUCUUUUCUCAUGUAAAUUAUUAUUAAAAAACACUAGAUGCUUUUAAGGUAAACUGAUCCUUAUUAACUAUAUUGGUCGGAAUGUUUGCAGGUAGUGUCAAGUGAAAAAGAUGGGCAUGGGAUUGAGACACUUAAAGACAUUGGGUUGCAAAUUAUAGCAAAAUGUGGUGGAUUACCUCUUGCUGUUAAAAUAAUGGGAGGACUCUUGUGUCAGAAGGACAGAGAACGCCAUGACUGGGAGAUGGUUCUAAAUGAUUCUAUAUGGUCAGUAUCUCAAAUGCCCGAAGAGCUAAACUAUGCAGUGUAUUUAAGCUAUGAAGAUUUACCUCCUUCUGUCAAUCAGUGCUUUUUAUACCACUCUCUUCUUCCCAAAACUGGGUUUUUCAAUAAAGAUGGUAUUAUUGGCAUGUGGAUUAGUGAAGGAUUUCUUCAUGGAACCUCAGAUGACUUGGAAGAAUUAGGAAACAAGUACCAUAAGGAGCUGAUACUGAGGAACCUUAUUGAACCAGAUACAUUGUACGUUGAUCAAGCUGUUUGCAACAUGCAUGAUGUUGUCCGCUCGUUUGCUCAAUUUGUGGCUAGAGAUGAGGCACAAGCAGCUCACAGUGGACAAAUUGGUAUUAUCAAUAAACUCAGUGCACAAAAGUUUCUUCGAUUGUCUAUAGAAAGUGAAGGAUCAGAAUCUAAUGAGUAGAAAGUUAGGGCAGCUAAGGUAUCUUAACUUCCGUGGAACUGGUAUAAAUUGUAUACCUAGGGGGUUUUGUGCUCUAACAAAUUUGAGGAAGCUAUUCGGAUUUCCAGCCCAGGUGGAUGGUUAUUGGUGUAGUCUGCAAGAGUUGGGCCCUCUUUCUGAGCUCAGGGUUCUUGGACUGAAUGCACUAGAGAAUGUUUCAGUUACCUCGUCCACUACAAAGGCAAGGCUUGGUGAGAAGGUGCACCUUACCAAUCUAGUUCUAAACUGCAGCAGUAGAUUGGGAGAUGAUGGGCUGAUUAAAGAGGAAGAAGGCAUAUCCGAGGAAGAGAAAAGCCAAAUCGAGAAGGUGUUUGAUGAGCUCUGCCCUCCGCCAAGCUUAGAGUAUCUUUACAUUGAAGGAUAUUUUGGACAACAGCUCCCAAGGUGGAUGAUGUCAACAUCAGCAUCAUCCCUUAAGAGCUUGAGGAUUCUAUUUAUUGAAGACUUGGCUUGCUGCACCCAAAUGCCUGAUGGUUUGUCUCGGCUCCCAUGUCUGCGAUUCAUGAAGAUCAAACGUGCUCCAUCCAUCAAGCGUGUUGGGCCUGAAUUUCUCCAGCCCUACCAUCACCAGAGUCCUCAUCCUUCCCAGACAGUGGUUGCGUUUCUGAGAUUGCAGAAGAUGGAAUUAAUUAGAAUGGUGGAAUGGGAAGAGUGGGAGUGGUCGGAGCAAGUGGAAGCCUUUCCUAUCUUGGAGGAGCUUUUACUCGAUAAUUGCAAACUGAGACGUGUUCCUCCUGGCCUUGCUUUCCAGGCAAAGGCUUUGAAACAGUUAGUCAUAGAAAGCCUCCAGCAGCUCAGCUACCUUGAGAACUUUGCUUCUGUUGUCGACCUUCAAGUGUAAAGCCCUGACCUGGAGAGGGUCUCUAAUCUUCCCAAACUGCAGAAGCUUAUCAUCGUUAUGUGUCCAAAUCUGAAGGUAUUAGAGGGUGUACGUGCACUGCAGAGGCUUGUUUUGGAGGAUUUUGACUUGGAAACACUUCCAGAAUACAUGCGAGGUAUAAACCCAAGACAUUUGCUUCUAUACUGCAGCCUGGCUCUGCUCUCUGCCAUAGCCGCGGGACAGUCUGGCCCUGAGUGGGACAAGUUCAGCCAUGUUGAGAAUGUCAAGGCAUAUGCUGAUGAUGGAGACAAUCUAAGGAAAUGGUAUGUCUUGUACACAAGAGACCCCUACAAGUUGGAGACAAAUGUGAAUCGCUCUUUCUUGUCUGGAGGUAAAUUGUCAUUUGUUCAUUCAUCUUAAUUUCUUCGUCUCUAUUCAUUUAAUUGUUCCCUCUGUUUACUAGCUUUCAUCCUUAUGUAUGUCAGAGUCUCAAAUAUAUUCCCUAUUCAUUUCGCUUGAAUGCCUCCGUUCAGAGUAGGACAUGCAACUUCAGUUUUGGUAGCAAGUACUCAUUGUAUUGGUUGUAUAUGGCUGGACUCAACAUGUUGCCAAAAGGGUUAAAACGAUUUCAACGAGUUAAGAGUAGAGCUGCCGUACUUCUUUUUAUAUUAAAGUUGCUCGGUAUUUUGUAAAUCUGUUAAUAUAGCUAUUGCCUUGCAAGUUAUGGAUUAUGUAACCGCUUUUGUAUAUUCUUCUCACGCAGGAACUGCUAGCUAGCUUCUGGAGAUCAGAUCGUCCUGACUGCUUAAUAGGUAUUCUUUUUUUUAUGCCACAUCUUCCGGUUUAACUUCCCUGUUCCCAUGGUUAUUCUCCAUUCGUUAUUUUGAUACCGACUGAGAAUCUUUAACUCUCUUGGUGACAUGUUGAACUAUUUUGAAAAGAGUAACUCAUACAGCUAUCAGCAAUUAAGUUUGCAGCUACAAAUGCUAUUCAUGGAGAGUGAAAUAUUUUGAUACUUUAAACCUUCGAUUUGAGCAGGUGGGUGGGAAGGGAAUUGAAGCUACAUGAGGCUUCAUGUCAUCCUGCGGCUUGGUCUUAUCAGACGCUUGAACACGAUGCAAUGCAACCCUGGCAUGCAAUGGAGCUAAAGGCUAAUUUUAUGCUGCAACAAGGAUUCAAAGUUCAGUGCUUUUCGUUUAUAAUUGUCAUCUCUUCGGCAAACAGACAAGUGCUGUGUAUUAGUACUCACUCCGUCCAACAAAGGAUGUCUCAACUUUCACUAAAUUUGAAUGUAUUUAUAUACUAAGUCAUGUCUAGAUACAUCCAAAUUUUGACAAAUUUAAGACAUCUUUUGUUGGACGGAGAGAGUAUUUAUUUGUAUGCUGAGUAUUACGCUUUUUUGCGUUGUGGCUCAAACGAUAAUGUAGCUGCAUAAUGGCAACAUGCUGGGGUUACGCUUUUUAGUUCAAAUGUAGCUGCAUAAUGGCAACGAUAAGUAAUAAUUUUUGUGAAGUAUUUGUAUCCUGGAGUAGUUGAUGCAACCUGACCGGCCAAUUUGCGAACAUAAUUGCAGGGAAUGUGUAUGACCGCAUCAAGUUUAGUGUUACGCGCAUUCUGGACAACUAGGCUCUGGCUCAGUAUGACAAUGGAUAGUUAAAAAGUGGAUAUCCAUGGAUAUCCAACCCAUGUAUUGCGGGUAUGGAGCGGCAUUUUGCUCCAUGUAUAUCCAGCCAUGGAUACCCGCCAAGUCAUGGAGCGGGCACAGAUAGCUCAUUCGAUCCAUGGAUUAUCCAUGGAUACCCGGUAUUUAAAAUAAUAGAUGAAUUAAUGACAUGUAGAUUCAUUUUUCAACCAUAUACUCAUAUAAAUAGUUUCCUUCGCCCACAACCAUAACCUUAAUUUGACUCUCAUUCCACUCCCACCCGCCGCCAGCGCCAGUCCGCCGCUCACCCUCCGACCCCCUUCCCCUCAAUCUUCCUCAGAUCUCAGCCGCCCCCAUUUAUGUUGUAUAUUGCAUGGAUAUGGAUAAUUACGGAUACCCGGAUACCCAUGGAUAUGGAUGUGGAUAUUGUUUUGCAUCCACGGAUAUUUUCAUGGAUGGAUAGUUGGUUCGGGGAUGGAUAUGGAUAUGGAUGUGGUCGACCCGUCCAGUUGCCAUCCUGAUCUCUGGCGCGCCCCCCGGGGUCUUGGUGAACCGUAAUGGGUUUGGCUAUGUUCUGCUGAGGCUGUUGUUAGUUUUUUUUUUAAAACUAACCGUAAUGGCUAAUGGGUUAGUAUAAGCGUACCGACAUGCGUGUCCAGACGGUGAAUCUAAAAAUAUUUGAGAGUGAAAUAGUGUGAUGAGAGGAGUGUAUAGCACUGAGAAGCGUAGCUUUAGAAGGACAUAAAAUUCUACGGAUAAGCAUAACAAAAGGUCCAAAUGCCAGAAACAGCAAGUCAUGAAAAAUUUCAAAUUUCACUUGUUCGAUCAAAAGUUUAUCAUAACGGGCAUGAACACUCAUGAGAUCGCUUUCCAGAAAUUUGCAGAUUGCGGUGGCCAGGCAUUAUCCUCGACAUAUGGCUGAACCUUAGCUAGAUGCGCCUUUUCUUUCCCGGAAAUCCAUAUAAACAUAUUCUUGUCCUGAAAAAAUAAAUCCAAAAACACUCAUUACAAGUGACUGUAAAGCUAUUAAGUGCAAAUGAACCUGAAAUUGGAUAACUUAAAUAGGCAAAAAUAUGGUAUCCCUCUGUACCAAAAUUUCAAAAGUAGGGGCGCCCUUUAUUGAGAGCAACCAUAAUAUGUAGAAAACCAGAAUCAAUCAAAAGCAAGAUGAGAUCAAACUUACCAUGGCAUUUCAAUAUCAUAUUAAUAAACAGCUGAUCAGUCCUCCCGACACCAAAUAGGAAACGGAAAUAAACUCUAAAUGGGCUUCAACAUUAUAUACUCCUAGCAUUUAAGUUCUGGGAAAAUAAUGGUCCAAACUGUAUGCGCACACACAAAAAUAUUAAUUUUCUACUUCAUGGCAAUCAAUCAUAUAUACUUCAAGGAUGAUAUAUCACAUUGCAACAAAAGACCCUAACUACAACAAAAUGUAUCAAGUGGACUUAUUUUAAUUCUAGAACACUAUUAUUAGUAUAUUACAUGAUGUGUAGUUCCUAUAUAUUAAAAUAUGGAUAUUGGGAGAUGAUAAAUCAAACUGUUCAUUGGUUAAACAAGAAAUACAUGUCCCAUUUCCUCAAGAACUGUUCGAGGAACCCAUUGAUCAUAAACUCGGUCAACGGUCAUAGUUGCUAAUAAGCUUCCAUCAGGACCAUCACGAACUACACCAUAAAACGAAACCACAUUUGAAUGAUGAAGUGAGCUCGGUAUCUGAGCUUCUUUCCAGAAAUCCGCUAUCUACAAGAUCAGAUAAAUCAGAAUGCAUUUACAAAUAAAAUGUGACUACUAGAAUCAAGUAACUUUACUUUUAGGUGUGAACAUAUGUAUCAUUACGAUCAUGUUGAGAGGGGGAGAGUGAGAUCAAGUUUGUGUCUCCCUUUGUUAAGCUGGAUCAUUCACAAAUCAUAAUCGAAAUCUUCUUCCGGAAAGGAUACAAGGACUGCGAGUCAGGACUGGACAAAAUGAUUGCAGGAGUAAUCAAUCAUGAUCUAUAACAGCUAUUUAUGGCAGAAUGUUCAUAUUUUUUCUCCCUCUUUUCAUGUACAUAACUCUAAUCUUCUGUAUAUAAGUAGGAGAAACCCACUACUUGAUUUCUCUUAACAUGCAAGCAUGCCAAAUCAUCACAUCAUUAAUAUGUUCACACCUAUUUAGUGAGAAACUCAUAUUUGUUUUUCCAUCAUGCUAUCCCACUAUAUGAAGAAUCUAUCAUACAAUUUUAUUUUAUGUUUUGAAUUUUGGAUACUCUUUCGUUGCUACUCAAUUUCACUCGUGCAUGUAUAUUAACUAAAAAUUUCCGCAACAACGUGCGGGACAUCAUCAAGUUGUAUUAUACAGUCAAGGCCUCCACUACUUUACUUGAAAAGAGACUUAUUCAGAACAUAUAAUAUGAAACAUGGAAUAGUAACCUCAGUAUUAGACGAAGUAUAUGUAGAGAUUUUGACCACGAAACAGUUAAGAAGAAUUUUGCUGUGGUACCAAUCCUUAAGUUGACGAACUAACAAGGAAUAACACAUACCAAACGUUCUCUCACGGAUGGCCUUCCAGCUAAGCAACUCGCUUUUGUUCUUCCCCUCCAUUUACCAUGAAAGACUGCCCCAUAAGUACCUGAACCCAGCUCUCUGAUUUCCUUUAGAUCAUCAUUUUUUAUAGUCCACAUGGUCCAUUCAACUUAUAAGUGGGACAUAUGUUGGGUUUCUUCAAAAAUCAAUCACAUGAACGCACACGCUCACACGAUAAUCACCGGAUUAUGACCAAAGGCACCUGUCGUGCCUUGUCUUUAUUUCUCGUAACUCAAAAACUCCACGUUACAAGCUUAUCACAAGUAAGGCCGGCUACCUGCGUAUUUAUACACUCACAUACCUAGCUAUACUAAACUGACUCGUACUAGCACUUGUAUAACCAUACCGACUCAAACUCUAACUAGACUCAAACUCAACUAAGAAACCGACUGCACGCAAGCAGUACUAAUUAACCAACUCCAUAUACUAACACGAGUAUAACUCAGACUCAAGAUUAAACCUAACAACAUAAGCUAAAAUCAAAUAGUUAUCAAGAGAUUAAUUAGUAAAAGACCUGUAGUCCCUUGGAAGCUUCAGCUUCUGCGACUGUAGCUUGGAUUCCAGAACUUUUAUGCCGGUCACCGCUUCCAUGCACAUCAGAGCCCUGAUAUCCAUCAGUAAUCUGCAGAAAAAAGGAAUUUGAGGGAGCGAAUUAGGUAGCUUAUUGAUUAAUGUUUUUUGUUCAAGUAUUACAUACACCGUAGUCACCUCAUCAAACUUCUUCCCAUCAUUGUCAUCAUCACAAACAGGCGAAAUAGCAGGGAUAGCAUCUGCUUGAACCUCUCCUGAGCUGAGAUAAUUGCUUUUGGAAACCAUUGAAGCUGGCGGUUACACGAAGAAGGCGCAAAAUGAUACGCUCUACAAUUGGAAUCGUUGGAGGACGCGCGCGGUCACAAAAUGCACCACCCGGCUGUUAGUGCAAAAAGCCAAAUCCGGGUGUUCUAAGAUGCUGUCCGGGGAUUGUUAGUUAGUAUGCGGGUCCCACCUGUCAUAACUUAGCCGUUAAGCGUGGGUCCCACUUGUCAGAAGUUGACUGGUUUUUGUGGUCCCGACAUGUCAGUUGUUGACCGUUAUUUGUGGUUCCCACAAGUAGCCCGUGCCCCCGUUCCCCAUUACCCGACACGCUCCUCUGCUUCCUCUGUACCGACCGACCGCCGCACCGCCGCUACUCCAUCCCUGCCGCCACUUCUCCGUACCCGCCGCCGUUUCUCCGUCCCCGCCGCUGCUCCACCCGGCAGAUGACCUAGGUGGCCGCUCCCCGGUCUGGCCCUAGCCCACGGUCCGCAGUAGAGGCUCGCCGCACCCGGCACUGUCGCAUCGUGGGCACCGCCGUCGCGCGGUCGAUUUAGCCCAAAAGCCACCGUCAAUCUUCGGGGAAGAAGAUGUCGAGGUCGAGCAAUGCCUCUCGUAGCAGCACGCGGCCGAUGUAUGGGCAGGUUCCCCUCUCCCGGUGCCCCGAUUGCCCACGGGUGGAGCCGCUAGUCCGCCUGACGUGCAAGAAACCGGAGAUAGGGAAUUUCGGCCGCGAAUUCGUCAAAUGGGAGAGCCGGCCGCAACCAGGGAAGGUAAAUUGCAUGUGCUUUCUCAUUCAAUUUUGAUUUAAUUUGGGAUUUUAGAAUUCUAGGGUUUGCACUAAAGGGGCUGAAAUUGUGAAAUCGGGGCUGAAAUUGAUGGGCUCUCGAAAUUGAUGGGCCAUGUUUGAUGUUCUUGUAGUUACUGAGACAAUGUAGCUUUUUCAUGUGGAUGGAUUCGUACGUUGAGAAGCUUCAAAUGGGAGGGAAGCUGCAAAGGCAUGUGAUGGAGGAGCAGAGGAGGGCAAUGGAAAGGCAGAUUUGCCCCUUUUGGAAGAGGUGAAGGGCAUGAAUGAGAAGCUGACAAAGUUGAUUGAGUUGAAGAAAGAUGAGAUGCAAGUUGCCAAACUGUUUUAUGCUUGUAUCAUCAUGUUGGGUUUGAUUUUAGUCGUCAGGAACCCGUUCAUGUAGCACUUUGGUUUUAGAAUAAGAGCUAGAUUGAAGGAAGAUUUGAUGUUAUGGUUUAUGUAAGAGAGCUCUUUAUGUAACUUUAUGUAAUGGUGUAAUGCAAAAAACUGAACCUCAUUUCUGAAUGAAGUGCUUCACACAGCUACGGUUUAAUGCAGGAAACAGAGGUUCUCGUUCUCAAAGUGCUUCGCAUAGCUAACAUUAGAGGUUCUGAAAGUGCUAAUCGGUUACAUAGCUAAAUAUUAGAGGAGAGGCCAUAACAGAGGGAGGGGUCCUUGAUUAGCAGCCUCAUUUCACCUUGUGAAAAUAACAAGAGGCUCGAACGAAAUAUCCAGUCAGCUAACCUAUUAGCUAGAUAAUCUAGCUGGUGACCCGAAUCCAAAAUAAACAGGAGACGCCCAAGCAUGCCAUCUUUUGCCGUUGCUGAUCAUCGGGGGCUCUCGAUCAUUAGGGGUCACCAUAGCAUGCCGCGGAACCAAGCAAUGGCCACGGCAAUCACGAAGCAGGUAGCAAACCAAGCUAGAGCAGUGUAUACAUCCAUCGCACCUCCAAGCAUAGCCAACCGAACUUCGUACCCAAAGCAGAUGCUGACAACGACAAGCCCCUCGUCGACGGCCACAAUAUCGUCUCUUGGUCCAGCUCGAGCACCUGCAAAAUGGAGACGCGGCAAACGGAGGCGAGCAAGAGAGCCGAGCAAUGCCGUAAUGAUUGCCCCUGGAGCUGCAGAUGAAAGGAUAGCAGUAUGUCGGGUGAUAUCCACCUCAGCAGAGUCGGAGAGGACGGGGGCGGCCGUGGAUAUUGACCAGGACGACGAUGUGAGCGGAAGGAGAAAGGCCUGCGUGUUGGGCACGUCGGCCUCCCGCCGUGAGUCCCUGCUGCGGGCCACCACUGGUCGCCGAAACAAGGGCUCCUCGGAUGGGCUCUCCUCCGACCGCCGCAAGUGUCCCACCGCCCACCGAAACAAGGGCUCCGAGGAGAGCGGCAGCCGGUAGCGCAUUGCCGGCCGGUCCGCCGGCCCAGGCACCUUGUCGUCCGGCUGCGGCUAGAGCGGAAGCUCCUCCUCCGACCGCCACAAUGAGGGCCCCAAGGACUGCAGCUGCUGCUCCAUAGCCGGCGCCGGCUUCUCCUCCCGCAGCUCCACUGCCGGCGCCUACUCCCAGAGCUCCACCGCUGGAGCCGACUCCCUGAGCUCCAUCUCCACUAAUGGUGAGAUACCCGAGAGCUUCCGUAAUUCGAGCCACCUCCUCUUCCGGCAUUGGAACUAGGCUAGGGAUUGGGUGUGCUGGGGUUUGGAUUGGGCUAGGUAUUUGGGGAGAGAUUUGGGGGAGAAUGGGGAAUCAGUGGAUUGGAGAAGGGGCUAGAGAAUGGGAGAGCAAGGGGAAGCUUAGGUGUGAAGGCAAACGGAGGAGUGAGAGUGGCAGGAAGUGUCAGCCGUCGGUGAGGUGUAAUAAGUGAAGGUGGAGGAAAUUUUAUUUUGUGCUCCAUUUUCUUUAGCACGUGUCAAAAUCAUCACUGUCAGGCACGUACGAAACGCCCGCCACUGAAGUAAGAAACGCGGCAAAUCAAAAUUCUUCUAAAUUGAUCAAAAAUAGGCUAAAUGUUGGACUCUAAUACUUGUUUAGAGAGAUAUAGGAAGUAAUGGGAUAGUUUAAGACCAGAUAAAGCCUCGAAACCUCAAAACCGUGGUGGAAAAUGGAUUGUACUCGAAUGUUUGUCGAAUGGGGCUUCAAGGUUUAUCAGUGUCGGUCAUGCUCCAGGACCGACACUGAUAUAAAUUCAUGAGUUUUCUAGAAAUAAGGCGAUUAUGUGUUCAAGUUCUAUGAUAUUUUGAAUGAAACUUUUUAUGGACUAUUUUGUGUCUGAUCUAGAUGAUGUGUACAAAUUUCAGAAUUUCUAGAGGCAGGAAACUAUAUUUCGUACAUAUUUUGAGUUAAUCAUGAUUUCGUUUGAAAAUUCAAAACUGAUUGCUACAGUUUGCAAAUGCACUGUUCCUUGUGGUAGGAAAGUUUCAUUGGAUUGAUUGAAAGGUGAUAGAAGUUCCAUACAUGACUCAAUUUAUUAUUUGAGACGUGUAAUGCAUGUUUUUGGGACUUUUAAGGUUUAUUGAUUUUGGGAAAUUAAUAGUAAUAUGAAAAAUUGAUCAGAAAAAUCUGAAAACUUGCAUGUGUUAAUUGUUUGGCAAAUUUUGCCAUCAUGCAAAAUUUCAGAUGAUUUUGAAUAAUUAUGAUCAUAACUUGUGUUGAAACUAGCACAUCUCAGUGAGACGUUUCAGAAACACUCACUUGAUUCCUCUGGAUCCGGUUACUUUUUCAAAUUUUGUACUUACACCUUUUUCCAAAUCACUUCAAAUUUGGUACACUUCCUCCAUUUGGAUAGUAUUUUUGAGAAAUAAAAAAAAUGAGUUUUCGGUUAAAUAUUAUUUUUUAAAAUUUUGAAAUUCAAUUGAAAGGCACUAAUUUGAAAAGAUAGGCCGAAAUUCCUUGUGAAAUGAUAUGAAAUUUGGCAUGGAGUAGGCUAAUUUAUGUACCGAAUUAUGGGUGGGAUGUAAAACGAAAACGAAUAUGCCAAAAGGUAUGAAAUUUUGAAAACGGUUCGAAUUUUUUGAAAAUUAUUUCAAAAUCAACUUGCUCAGAAUGAUUUGAAAAUUGGCAGGUGGCAAGAACUUUGUAAGGAGACACCAUAUUUGCAUUAACCUUGCAAUUUUCAUUUCACGGUGUGGUUUUAAGAGGUGUUCUAAGUAUGAUUUUGACGAAUUUAAAAUGUGCUUUCGAGAAAGUUAACUUUGUCAAAAUGAGUUGAAAUUUCGGCCGUGCUAAUAACUUUGCAAGGAGAUUCCAUUUCGGCAUUUACUUUUUGGUUUACAGAAUGUUGAUUUUUGGAGGGUUGCUACAAAAUGGGUCACUUUGGUAGACUUGAGCCCCAUUUUUGAGCUCACUUCACCUGCAACUUGUGUGCCUGAGUGGCUGAACACAUGAAGUUACUUCAUAGCUUAUACCAACAAAGUUGAAAACCAACUAACAUGAAUCUGAAUGUCUAACACACACGAUAUUGAAUAAAAUUACAGCAGCGAUUAACACAAAUCUGAAUGUUUAACACACAUCAAUCUGGUCCAAAUGGUUCUCACACAAAUGGUUCUCAUACAAAUGGUUCUCAUACAAAUAAACACGGCUCACACAAAUGGUUCUCACACAAAUUACAACUGCCACACAUCUUUAGAAUAAAGUUUUGAUGCUGCUCUCUUCCUUUUAAGGGUCCUUUAGUGGCUAGCCUUUUCACCCUAUCUGGUUUCACUUUUUAUGCAACAUUUGGAGCUUCAACUUCAGCAGCAUUUGGAGCUUGGACGUUUUCAGCAGCAACUUCAGCUUCAACAUUUUCAGCAGCAACUUCAGCAUUUGGAUCUGUCCAUUCUUCAGCAAGCCAAUCUUCAACAUCUGGAGCUGGCCAAUCUUCAGCAUUUUCAGCUGGGGCUGAAGCUUCAGCAUUUUCAGCUGGGACUGCGGCACUCUUCUUCUUUCUUCCACGAGCCCUGGAAAUUAGGAAUGUCAGAAUCAGAACAUAACCAUAGGAAAAAAACAUUGAUAAAUAUGAUAGGAAAAAACUUGCCCCUUAGUUUUUGGUGGAGUCAAAAUAAAGUAACUAGAACCAGCACAAUAUCCAGGUUCUAGACAACUCUUGCAUUUCUCUAGAUGAGGGGCAUCUAGAUCCCAGCUCCCUCUGCAGUCUUAUUUUUUCCACGACCCCGAGGUUUUGGUGGAGUGAAAAUGCAGAGAGGGGAGUUAACACGAUGGCCAAUUUCUAGACAUUUCUUGCAUCUGUGUUUGAUGCCUAUGGCUGCCUUUGAAUUAAGUCUCUCUUCCUCUUUAGCCUUCUCCUCUUUAGUUUUCUCCUCUGUCUCAUUUGUCCCCUUUGCCUCCUUUGCCUCCUUUCAUUUGACCUUUCGUCCCAGGUUUUCCACCACGCUCAAAGAAAUUUUUGAAACAUUUCUGUUUAGACCUGCCAGCUUUUCUAGUUAUGUUUGGGGCAUGCAUAUCAACUCCAAGUUCCACCUCAGGCCAUUGUGAUUGAUCUGUAAAUGGCUGCACAAUUCCUGCAUAUGCUGCUUUAAACCUGGCCACUGAGUAACAUUCGUCCAGAAAAUUCCCCAUCAUCAAGUGAUCUCUCGCAGACAACACUACUAUAGCAUGCUCACAAGGUUUCCCUAUUGCUUGCCACUCAAGACAGGAGCACUCGUGUAAAUAAAUAUUCACCACAUGCCUCCUCGUGUUCGUUUUGUUCAUAACCUCAGCACAGUUAGUUGAGGCAUUCACAACAUGAUAGUGUCCAAGUCCUCUACUCUUGCAUACAAGCUGCUGAACGACUGUUGGUAGUUUGUCAUGAUGCAAUUUCUCACCUAUCUGUAUCCUGAUAUUGAACAGAUUCAUUAUUCUUAUCCUGAUGUUGUCAACCAGCUCAUGAAUAGGCAGGUCCUUCAGAUCUCUUAUCCAACUAUUAAAACUUUCUACCAAGUGGUUAUUGAUAUGAUCAACUUUGAUAUAUGUAUUAAAGCCAGAUCUAUACCACAACAAAGAAUGAUAGUUAUUCAGAUAUACACCAAAUUCCGGACAACCACCCUCAGAGAUUGACAACAUCUUAUCCAUAUGGUACUUGAAAGUGUCAUGCAUGUAGGGUCUUGCUGUUGGCCACAUUUUUCCAAAAACUUUUCCUUGAAACUUUUUAACCAAAUUGAGCCACAAAUGGAUGAAACUCCCUCCUCUCAACAUGUGGAAACACAGUUUUCAGAGCAUUCUCAAGACCUUUAGAAGCAUUAGUGCAUAUUGCCAAAGGAUUCAUAUGUCCUAACGACAUAUGCAACUGAGUCAUGAACCAAGUCCAAUUAGCCUCUGUCUCAGACUGAAGCAAGCCGAUGGCAACUGGAAACAUCCAAUUGUUGCCAUCUAUAGCUAUGGCUGCAGCCAACUGCCCAUUCCAUUUUCCAUUCAAUGCAGUGGAGUCUAUGCUCAAGUAUGGACGGCACCCUGUUUUAAAACCAUCUAGACAAGGCUUCAUGGCCAUGAAGAACCUAGAAAAGAAUACCUUGCCAUCAUCUUGUACAUAGGUGUCUACCUCACAUACAUUGCUAGGUGACCUCAAAUGCAUUUCGGCUCUAAAGGUGUACAACAUUCUGAAUGCAUUGCCCCAGUCACCAAACAGCUCCUUCAUGGCUCUUUGUUUCCCUUUCCACACAGUGCUGUAGCUCCUUGUGCAUUUGUAAUCCCUUUCCAAGUCGUCUUGAAGUGUUUUUGCAGUUGUGUAUGUUUUUUUUGCUCAAAAUGGGGUUCGCCUGUUCUGCAACCCAGGCUUGAGAAGUCAUUUUUGUAACUUUCCUUGAGGAUGACAUACAUGUGUGUUUGUGUGGCAUCCGAUUGACCCUGAUGAGCCUCCCAUCUGGUUGCCUUCUCGCAGACAUAUACCAUCGACAAGGCAACAUAUUGCCAUCCUUACGCCUGCAUUUCGCAGUGAACCUGUUCUUGUCAGUCCAUGCAGUCCUACCUUGAAACUCUUUCUUCAGAACAUAUGACCUGAAAGCCAUCUUCAAUUCCUCCAUACUAGACCAAAACGUACCCACUGAUAUAUCAGGAUUAUCUUCAUCAUGCACCGUGCGCACCUCUUCUUCAUGCAUGUCAUCUACUACAUCUCCCCCAUCUUCAAACAUCUUGGCAACUUCAUCUUCGUCAUCACCACGUUGCUCCGGGGGCACACGCAGUUGAGGAGGGGGCGGCGGCAACGUUUGUUCCUCAUCAGGCAAUGGAAUGCCAAGAAGUUUGGCCCAUUUUCUCUCGCAGUAAAAUUUGCGGAGUAAAAUUUGUUGGCUCAUCAAUAUCUACUUGACUAUAAUCAACAGAUGGCCCAUUUGUACUGUUCUGACCGAAAUCAGCCACAUUCCUGACAGGCUGACUCUCUACAAGAAAUGCUGCGUCAAGGAGGGUAUCUGCAGCUUGCGACCGAACAAUUCCUACAUGUGAGUCUUUGCUGCCAUCAAUUAGCUCUGCAUAAAUUGUUUGUUCAGGAUCCCCAUUUGCUGUGCGACCAGCUACGAUUGCUUCAACAAGCUGCGGUGCUGUCGUGAUUCUCCUGUAUUUCUGCCCCCUCUGCCUCUCCACAUAGGUACAUAAUUCCACUUCUUGCCUUCAACCCCAAACCACCUUCUUACCCAACUCCCGUAUGAAAUCUUGAACAUUGAUGCCAUCCACCUUGAUUCUCAAAUCAACGUGCAUAUUCCUCUGAAUCAACUUCAUAGUGCCAUCGUCUAGCUUCGCAAUGCAAGGACGAAACCUCACUCUCACUGGCUCCUCGCCGUCGCGGGGUUGUUCAUUCCUACCGGCGAUGGAACCAAAUCAAUUUCCUCCCCCCGGAACCGAAUGGACCGCCGCCAGCGUCUUCCAGGAUAACUGCGCCGCCUGGGACUGUCCUGGCGGGCUCGAGCUCAACGACGACGAAGAAGACAGAGGAAGAAUGCCGUCUUGUCAAACUAGUUCAGGGCCCGCAUGUCUGCAUAUGCCGCGUGGCUAGUUCUCGUGGGACCCACUACUAUCUAACCAAACUGUAAUUAGAACACGCCGUUCAUGAUGAUGUUAAGAACUGGCCCAUGCGAUAUUUUGCACUUACCCCCCUGGUGGUGUAAUUUGUCAAUUAGGCGUAUGUUGGUCGAUUUCAUUCGUGCAACUCUCACGAUUCUGCCAACUUCAGGUUUCUAUGCUUUUUAAUGGUUUAGAAAAUACAUCGGCCCCUCCUGAGCUAGUCGGCCAUUGGAUUGACCUGCAGACUACUCAUAUAACUUAAAAUACGCAAUACAUAACCACAGUGUAUAUGUUGGAUUAGUUACCUGAGAGCACUACUGGCCCGAUACUGACGAAGAAGACAGUGACAGCGAGCAGAUACCCCAACCUUGCGGCUCCAUCUAUAUAUCACCUCCUCAUUUUCGCUGAAGACCUUAGGCAAGCUACUCCUCCAAAUGAAGAAGACAGCCAUGAAGAUGGCACCGGUGAAGACCGAUGUUGUGGCCGCCAAGGCCACCGCGAACUUGGCCGACUUUGGUCUGCCCGCUCCGAUACCCUGACGCUGGAUCAUAAACAUGCUUUUCAGUAAGUGAGCUCUGUUAAACCGAUGCCAUAUAUUUAGGAGUAGAUAAGUUUGAGCUCGUUGAUGUUCUUUAGUUAUUACCUGACUGCUUCGCCGAAGCCUAGUGCGACCAUCAUGAUCCAGAACUCGUAGUUGAUACUGUAGAGUGUGCGAGUAUUGGUAAGAAAAUUAAACAUCCCUCCUUCUCGACAGAUCAUCCGUGUGGUGUAAUUAAAAAGGAAACAAGGAGCAUACCAAACUGACAUGAUAUGUAGCUGGAGUUGGCCAUUCUUCAGGAGACCCACAAAAAUCAGCAAUGCAGCGUAGUACCAAAACUCCAAACUGUAUAUAUUUCACAACACAAAAUUGGAAAUCGAAUGAAAAAACAUGUUUCGAAGAGUUUAGUUAAUUAAUUAAUCAGUAAUGUUGUUUACUGAAUUGGAAAAUCAAAUUUAUACCGACCCAGACCAUGACGGCUGACACGAGGGAGAGCUUGACGAACACGGCGAGGUUUCUUUUUCUUCUUUUUUUAUAACGACGACCGGUGCGAAUCAGAACAGAGAUGACUGCCUCCAGAUAAGAACAACUACAGCAAUACAAUGUUUCCUUUUCUUCUUUUUUUAUAACGACGACGGGUGCGUGGGUUUAAGAGGGCCCAAAGUUGUGUGGGCACCGCACGGACGGCCCAAAGGAUUUUGGCCAGUUAGUUAAUAUGGGCCGUGAUGGGCCAUCGCCUUCGUCUCAUUCUCUUUCGGACAGUCUUUUCUUUCCCCCAAAUGUUGUUUCUCGCCGGUCGCCGCCCACCGCUCCGGCGGCGGCGCCUCCACGCGCCGUCUUGGUAGCCCACCGGCAGCUGUAGAGUAUAAGAAGCUGGCUCCCUUCGACGCCCGCAUCCAGUCACAUGGCGGCAGCAGCCCCAUCGGUGAGUUAUUAGGCGGUUCCUCCAUCCCAAUCCCGAUCCCAUGGCAGCACCCAACACGAGUGACUUCUCUAUAUAUAGACCACAGGACUUCUCUAUAUCUAGGUAUCCCCUUUUCCUCCUACACAUCUCCUUCCUCCUCCGGCCGCUCGAUACCUUAGCUUCUUUUUUUUCUUAGAUACCCCCUUGGGUGUCGCACUCAUAGUUACAGUGUUCAGGGAUCCCCAUUUCCACAAGGAAUUUAGUUCUUGUUUCGCAUAAAACUAUAGGAACAUGGCAACAAUGACAAAGAGUACUUUGAAUUCGUCUACAGCUAGGCACCGACCGGGUCACCUUCGUGGCCAGAUAAUCGUACCUAGCUAGCUGCAGGUACAACAAUUGAUUUGAUGGACUGAGAGAUCGACAUUUUUCUUAUGUAGUUUGAAUUUUUUUUUAUGAAUCCUAAACUAAUCGAGUAAAAUUAUUCACAGGGAUUUAUUUUUCUAUGAUUCUGAAGCUGGCUCAGUAGCCAUGUGGUAGUAUUUCACAAGGAACUAUGUAUAUACAAUCAUUAUUCACUGAGCUCCGAGGAAACACAGAAGGCGGCAACUUUAAAAGUAGGUCACUAACCAUGUAAUGAUGGUUCCACCAAAUAAUUCUAGCUGCAUGGUCCAUCCGUCCUAUGCAUGAUCUGCAUACCAGUAGCAUUUCCAAGCCUCCCGUGUUCACAUACAGAAGAUAACCCAAGGGGUCGCUCUCAACCACCAAGCUAAUGUGUCAUGUGUUGUGUUGGUCCUCACACCUUUCUGGACAAUUCUCAGUAAACACAAUGUGCAUCGUUUUAGUACACACCACAGCUUACCAGGUCUUGUAUUCACAGGGAACCAAUCAUGCAUUGAGAUCCGAGGAAACAGGGAUGGAGACAACAUUAAAAACACGUCACCAACCAUGCCGGUGCUUCCCAAUAAAUUCCACCUCCUAUGAUGGGUGUACAGCAUAAUUUUUUUUCCUUGCGGCCGAUAGGAACUGCUGAACAACCACUAGGCAACCGUUUCACAUUCAUGUCAUCUUGGACAUCAAUUCUUCUUGUUAGAUGUAAGCCUCACCUGUGGAAAUAACGUGUGGUUUGGAUGCAUGCAUGGAUCCGUUCUCACUUCUAAAGUGUCUGCAAUGGAAAAUUAGUUGCAUCGAUCUAGAGCAAUCUUAACUUCAAAAUAGCUUCGAAAUUGAUAUGAACAGUUAAUUUGAUGCAAUCCAAUAGCUUUCUGUUCGGGGCACUUUAAUUUGAUGCAAUCCAAUAGCUUUCUCACUUCUUCUCUUCCUUGAGAUGUGUUCAUGCUGCCACAUGACUUCAUUGAAGUCCCCAAUCACCAUCCAUGGUUCACUGUUCGGGAAAAAGGUGCAGGAAAAGUUACAGUGUGAACAUAUAUAUUUGAUCUUUUAUUUAUAAAGACGCAUCAAAAGACGACUUAGUCGUUGACCUGAUCUCUGCUGAAAUCCUGAAGUAAUACGGCACAUUUGAUGAUAGCUGGCCGGGUGGAGUUAUUUCCAUCACUAGCUAAUAUACAUAAUUAAGUUGAAGAAGUUUGUGCUGCACAUGGAGGCCUACGAAAUGAAUAAAUCCGGCCCAAAGAAUUUGCUCAGUGUGAGUGAUUAUUUGUUCCUCCAAUUGUGUAACACUGGACUAAUUGUGCGCAUACAGAGAGAUUGAGUGGUUGUUCUCUUCCGCCAUUAAUUUUUUGUAUGUUCUGCAGUGCCCAAAUUAAACGGAAAAAAGAGAAAAAUGCAUACUCUGAAAUUCAUUUCCUAGCGUUAGAAUUCAGAGUGUUGACUGAUUGACCUUUAUUUUGAGAAAGUGUGUAUGCUAUUCCUUGAGAAAAUCAUGUGACUGUUUGAUUUUGAUGUUUGGAGAGUAGUUAUCAUAUGAGCUGUUUAAUUACUUCAGAAUCUGUCCUACAAUGUGGGCAUGUUUGCGUACUUGACAAUCUCUGUGUAACUUUUUUUUUUGGAUAAUCUAAUAUGUACUUUCAUGUUCAGUUGUAAUCCCAAUCAUAUGAUGGAUAUACUAUUCUCUUCAAAUGAAUUUGCAUCUGCAGCUAGUAAAGGUAAACUUUAGCCAUGCUAAAUUAUUUAUUAUUUCUUUGAACAUAAAACAUAAAUGCAUGAGGCGUUCAGCUAGUGCAGCAUGAGUUUCCUGCUGAGAUUUAGUAGCUUUACUGGCAGCAUUCAGCAUGUGCAGCAUUAGCCCCUGUUGCUGCUGUGCUCUCACUGUUGCAGCCUGAUUAUUUAACAGUAAUAUUUAUAUUACUCCGACCUUUGUGUAUGAUUUGUGCAACAGUUGUGCAUACUUAUAAAUACAUAAAAAAUGAAUUUCUUAACUUGGAGAUAAUGAACCAAGCUCUCUUGGGGAAAUGGAUUUGGAAACUUUUUAAUACAUCUGGACUUUGGCAGAAUUUGCUCAAAGCUAGAUACAUAAAAAAUGCUUGUUUUGGUGGGAUUAAACAUAGAAAUGGAGACUCUAUGUUCUGGUCAGGAAUCUUACGUUUUAAAAAGAAAUAAGUCCAUUUUACCUCCCUGAACUUAUCGCGAAGUCCAAAAAACACCCUGAACUCUGAAACCGGGUAUUUAACCCUCCUGAACUUUCAAAACCAUGCACCCGACCCCCCCCCCCCCUCUGCCUGUUUUGAGGCUGUUUCGCUGUGUUGAAGGUGGUUUUGACUCAUUUAACUGCCAUGCUGGCAAGCGAAUCAUUUCUCACUCUCUUCUUAUCCUGAGUUCUUCUACGGCGAACCCGACAGCAACCUAGUUCGUCGCCGCCACCACCCGCAGUCCAAUCUGCCAGCUUCCUUGUCAAAUCCGCCGCGCUUCCUGCUCAUUUCAAUCCCUCCGCAUCGACCCUGAAGCUCGCAGCAGCUGCUUCCAGUCAGUUCCGCUGCCGCCGGUGAAUCUGCAAUGUCGUGGACCUCCGGAUCCUCUACCAGGUCGAUGCUCUAUGAGGUAAGCUCUUCCUUUCUUUUCUGCUGUUCGAUUUCAUUUGCUCUCUGUCUUUACCCUCUGAUUUUGAUUAUGUUCCUUUCUUUAGGAUCAGUGGGAGAGAGAUGGAAUCGACCCCUGCAGAAGAGAAUUGGGCGGGGGCGAGAGGGAAACUGGUCUGCUUAACCGCUGCUGCCGCCAAGCAUCUUCCUCUUCACCUUCCUCUUCUCUCUCCUGCACCACCCUCCCCUUCUCCCACUCGCGCCGCCCCUCUGCGCCUCCCUCUCGCUCGCCCCUCUGCUCCCCCUCUCGAGAAAGACCUGCCACGAGCCGCGGGAGGUGGCGCCAGUCUGGACUCUGGAGGUGGGUCUUGACUGCGUUGAUCGGGAGCAGAGCCGCGUAGGUGAAGGCCCUCGCCGCGGUGCCCGUGGACGACGGCAUCUCCGCUCACCGCCGGUGCCGUUGCCGCCCGCAUGCUGAGAAUAAGAGGAGUCGGGUUCGGGGAGGGGGAUACAUCAAUGACUUGUGCCAUGUGGCAGUGCCACCGUGGCAGUCAACGGGUCAAAACCACCUUCAACACAGCGAAACCGCCGGAUACAGGCAGAGGGGGGUCGAGUGCACGGUUUUGAAAGUUCAGGGGGGUAAAAUACCCGGUUUCAAAAUUUAGGGUGUUUUUUGGACUUGCGAUAAGUUCAGAGGGAUAAAAUGGACUUAUUUCUUUUAAAAAUGAUUUUUUGAAGUGGUGUAAAUUCCUUAUUGGAAAUGGUCAAAAUACUAGAUUUUGGGAAGAUUGGUGGAUUGGAGGGAAACCUCUGAUGUACCAAUAUCCAGAUCUCUAUGAAAUUUGUUUUAGUAGGAAUGUUUCUGUAGCAACUGUUGUGGCCAAGAAAGGCAUAACCAUCUUCAGACGCACCUUGUGGGAGGUUCUGUAUUCUGAUAGGGAGAACAUUAUUGCUGCUUGUGCCAGAGUUAGACUUACUUCCUCUGAUGAUAAAUUUGGUGGACUCCCUGUCAGAAAGGGCAGUUCACUGUCAGCUCCUACUACAAGAAGCUGAUGUGGGGUAAUAUUUAUUAUUGAUUUCCCUCAAAAAUUCCUAUAGAAAAUUAAAAUCCCGCUGAAAAUUAGGAUAUUUUUAUGGUUGAUUGCCCAUAAAAGUAUUUUGACCAAGGAUGUACUAACUCAUAGGGGAUGGGAAGAGGACACUAAAUGCCAGUUUUGUGGGAUGGAAGAGUCAAUUGAUCACUUAUUCCUUCAUUGUUCGUUGGCAAGAUUUAUUUGGAAUGUUCUUAAAUGUGCUUUCGAUCUUCCUGUUCUGCCAAAUUCUGUGGAAGAACUAUGGUUGACUUGGCUGCCUGCUUUCUCAGGCAAUUCAAAAAAACUUGUUAUGGUUGGAGUGGCUGGCCUGUUAUGGGUGCUGUGGAAUACCAGAAACAGGGCCUGCUUCUCAAAUGUUAGAAUUACUUCCCUUUUUGGGGUAAUCAAACUGCUGUGCUAUUGGCUUAAUCUCUGGUCGAUUUUGCAAACAAGGGGACAAGACUGAUCGAACAGGUUGCUAGAGAAGUGUUUGAGGCGACUAGAGGAUGGUGUCCAUUACAACGAAUUGCUGGUUGAUCAAGGACCUGUUUGCUGUAUACUGAAGUUUUCUGUUGAAGCUGCUGGGACUCAAUGAGAAUUUGCGAUGGGGGCUUUGUCUGGGUGAGGACUGCACUAGGUGCUGGGAGAGGUGUGAGGGGGGGGGGGGGGGUGGGGGGGAGGGAAAACCUCUCUUUUUCAAAAAAAAAAACUUAUAAAUACAUUGCAUAAGAUAUUUAUUGUUUGACAGACACUUGCAGAUUUAUCAUCUGCUCUGCCCAUAUCAUAUAAGCUUGUAAAAAUGAACCGCACAAACUAAGAAGUGUAGAUAAUUUUCUUGACAAUUAUUAAUCCUUCCUUAUUAUUGUCUUUCUUGUUUUGAGAUCAGUGGGUUAAACUUUCGAUUUCAAAUUUAAUAGUGGUACCAAUUUUGUUUGGAUAUAAUUGUUUCCAUGAUUUUUACAACUUCCCUCUCCACAUUUGCAGCAUUUUUUUCGAAAUAGUAUUGUGCGUCAUUCCUGUGACAAUGCUUUUCUUCAGUUUGGAAUUCAAAUUUUGUUUAUAGUGCUACCAUUUUUACUUGGACUAGCCGAAAUGCCCCUGCAUUGCAACGGGAUAACAAAAUAAAAUGAUACACUCGAAGACAUGCAUAAAAAAAAUUCUCAUUUUGUUUUUCUUUGACAAUCAACAAACAUCAUUUUUAAAAAGGUUUCUUCUAAAGAUUUUUUUUCUCUAUACUCUACUCUAUCAAAAGACGAUACCUUCUGAAAAUCACAUAGCAUUCGUCAUUGACUUCUUUCUUUUGAGCCCUCAUAGCUUCACAGAUUGUGUGCCACGGGUCCUGAGACGAGGCGAUCGGAGGGUCUUCCAUGAGGCCUGUCAACUCGGACUUGGAUCCCGGCCAGUGAUACAAAUUUGAAAAGAAAUCUACUUCUUUUCGCGAACGAAAUAAACUCACAAUACUAAAUUUAAAAAAGAAAACAAAAUAUCUUCCAACAUUUCAGAAUCAUUGUUUGCUAAUCCUCACAAUCCUCUCAAUGAAAAGAAGUGAUUGGUAACAGAAAGUAAAAUACAAUUAUUUUAUUCGAUCAGUAGCCCAAUCCUUAAUAUUACAAUGAGCUCUAUGUGAUGGUGCCAUAGAAAUUGUCAACUCAAGAAAUAUUUUUUUGCCAAUAGUCCACAAUUAGUCCCCACACCCACACAAAUGCAACAUCAGAAGAAGAGCCUCGUGAGAUUGGACCAUAAAUAUUCUAGAUAUCCUAUUCUUCAAACCUACAAGUCUACUCUACUUACAUUGGCGUGUGCUCAUCGGAGGCAUGAAUGCCUGAUCAGCUACCUUGAUCUGCCCCACAAGGCGUCGGCGGCGCUCAUCCCGGAUGCAACGGGUGCUCGGGGAGGACGGCGACUGCAGGCGGAAAUCUCACCCUGAGACGCCGUCACUGAAGAUCUGGCCGGCGGCGAGAUUAAGGAUGCUGCCGGCGCAGCCCAGUCGCACGUCCCGGAUGGCCGGAUGCGGCGUGUGCUUCGGGUGGACGCCAGCUGCUGUACUCAGGGAAACGGAGGAGCUCCAGGCGUCACCGCAGCUCCGGCCAGCGGCGGCGUAGGCGAAGCCUAGGCGUCACUUGUCUCUCCCGUGGCAAUCGAGGAGAAGAAAUGUUCAGGCAAAGGAAUAGCAGAUUGAGGAAAGGGCUACGAGUGUGUACGAGUUAGGCCUGCUCGGUGUGCCAAUGAGUUCGGCCUGCUAGACUGCUGUGUAUGUGUAUGAUUUCGGCCUGCUCGGCGGUGAGACAGGGGCGUCGGGCCAGGGAUCGGGGAGACGGGCGUGGGGCAAGGCGAGCGAAGUUUGACAGGCGUCGAAACCGCGUGGUGAAGGGAACGGUCCGUAUUUUUUAGAUAGCUAUAGAUUUAUUUUUUCCAUUAUUCUUAUUUCUUACCACUUCUGUUUCCACAUUGUAGGUGACAAUUCUUUUAGAUUAAAAAUACACCACUAGUCCGUGAACUCGGUAAAAGUGAAGACUUUAGUCCACGAACUCAAAAAACGCACACUUAAACCCCUAAACUGGGACUACUGUGUCACUUUAGUCCAAAAACGCGCCACGUGGCCGCCAUGUCGGCUUCGGCGACCCCUUCACCGGCGUCCUCUGGUCAAAAUUUAGCGUUGUGGACUUGAUAGCAACCUUAGGCGAGACGGCGGCGGCAACAACGUGGUUCUCAGGGCCCCAGGAUCCCUGUCUGGGCGCGGCCGCCUUGCCCCUCUCGGCGACUCGGGCAUGGUGAUUUUGCCAAAAAAAUCCUAAGAAGAUCGAGUAGCAGCCCGCGGUCCUGGCCGAGGCCGGCGUGACGGCCACAUGGCGUGUUUAAGCCUCGCCGAACUGUUUUUGGACUAAAGUGACAUACUAGUCCCAAUUUAGGGGUUUAAGUGUGCGUUUUCCGAGUUUGUGGACUAAAAUGUUCAUUUUUGCCGAGUUCAGGAACUAGUGGUGUAUUUUUCUCGUUCUUUUAAAUAGCAUUGCACGUCACUCUCGUGGACACAUGAUGGGGUGACUGGUGAGAGCCAAGAUGCUGCCCUGUAAAUGACAGUGAGAUUUAGAUCCUGCAGCAACUAUGCUUCCUAGUUGGAGCUUGACUCACGAGUCACGAGUCAACGGUCUCAUGGGAUCGGUACAGUUUGAUUAACACUCUUAAGAGUGAUAUUGAGAAAAGGGCAAACAAGCAUGCAUGCCAUACUUUUUCAGCGCACAACCAAACCAAGGCAACACUAGCAAUAAUGCAAGGUCUUGUCUACACUGCAAAAGCCCUUUACACUGUUACUCUUACUCGUCCUAGUCUAUACUGCAAUAAUGCAAGGUCUCUUCCCCACACCUCACAUGCUUGCAAGAAGAGGAGGCUUCCCCACAGCUCACCGCGAUUGUGCUAGCUCUUUCCAACCAUAGCUCCGCUCUUUCUUGAUUUCGUUUUCUGGAUCCGGUGCGUGAUAAGUAUGCUGCUACUGGAUGGUAAGCUCAUACCGCAACAUUCCUUGGUUUCUCUUCCUCUUUUCCUUCUUCUCUUCCUUCAUGCCCUCUACUUGAUGCAGUGAUGCAGGUGUGACAACUUGUGUUCAGUUUUCUCUGCCCUCUACCUUGAUGUUGAUCCUCUCCAGGAACUUAGAGAAAAAACUUCAUCCUAGUAAAAAUCACUACUUUUCUCCUUGAAAGACUCUAAAGAAAAGGAGGCUUCGUUAGUUCAGUUCUAAACCUUGUUCUCCGCUGAUAUGUUCUGGUUCUAGCAUAACCAGCAGUUUUUAUGCAGGCAGAAGAGGAGGCUUUAUUAGUUGCUACUGUUGUUUAGAUUUCUAGCCAUUCCUCUGCUCCAGUGUCUCAUUUGCUGCUGUUUGAUCUGGUGAACUCCAUGGCCAACUGGCAUCAGGAGAUCAAGUCGAUCAUAGCUGGAAGUUUUGUUCCUUUUCUUCUCUCGGUCUAAUCAGUGUAUGUCCCUUCCAUGCAAAUUUUGUGUAGAUAUCUAUUGUUCAUUUAAUUCUAGUUGUAGUUCAUUGAUUAAACUAGCUUUCUUUUAACGAGUAUUCACAUCACCUUUUCUGUCCCUUUUCCCUUUUUGGCCACCAUAGCAGUGUGGAUCUCAGUUUUCAUCUCCAAGAUCUUAGUAAUGUAGUGAUGGGUCGGUAAAGUCGCAUCAAGCUGCUUCGCCAGGAUGAUUACUACCUAUUUUUGUUUACUAUGAACCGGUUUUCUUGCUGGAAGAUUCGUUUGUAACACACGCAUUGCAAGAUGAUUACUACUGAUCCUUAUUUCCACGUUAUUAACACACUGAAAUAUGCCAUUAUAUAUGACCUUCCAUCAACUACUAUGCGCGUUUGACAAACCAAUAACUGUUCUAGAUAUCUAGAAAAUGCAUCACUGUUCUGAACUUGUAAUGGGUAAAGAUGUAAGUAAUAGAAGAUCACUUAAGGUUUUCUAUGGUAAACAAAUACUCGGGGCUAUGCGUGCAGAACUGAAAUAAUUCCAUUGCUCCAUCAUGUCAAUUUAUUCAAACUUUGGGCGGAAAUAGUUAGUGGUAUCUCUGAAUUUCUGCUACAACUUACAAUAAUUUGUGCAAGAGUUGUGCAUACAUUUAAAUACAUUGCUUAUCCAGUUGUGUGUUUUUGUUUGACAUACGCUUGCAGAUUUUGAGUCGUGCAAACUAAGAACUAUUGGUUAAUUUUCUUGACAGAUUUAAAUCCAUUCCUUAUUAUUAAAUACAACUAAAAUUGCAUCAAGCUGCAAACUCAGAACUGUAGGUCAAUGCCAAACAAACAGAAGGUGUCCUCUCCCUUUGCUGCAUUAUUGUCUGUAUCACUGCAGUAGUUUUGUCUUUGUGCUCUCACAGCAAUGAUGACCCAUCACAUGAACAAGCAUUAGGAUAGUUUUGAAAUGAGAUAGAUUCGGACCAGUGAUUAAUUGGUCACUGCAAAAUCAAGUUCACUGGAAAAUGAGAGAACUGCAUAAUAUGAAAUUACUUUCUUGCACUAGCAACUCAACUGUUGACUGCUUGAUCUUAAUUUUUCGAUAUUAUAUAUGGUUGCAGUAGUUCAUCAUAUGUAUCCUUUAACUGCUCAGAAUCCUCUACAGUAUUAACCAUGUUAUUGCACACUGUUUAAGAAUCUAUAUUAGAACUAGGAGUUAAGAUGGAAAGGAAAUCAUCGUAUGAACUGCUUAGUUAAUUUGCAUGCUGGUUGUUCUAUGACCAGAGCUAACAUUUUAUUUUGCAGAUACAACUCGCGAUUAAAUUCUUGCAACGACCCUACUUACUGGGACCAAAUACCAGAAUUAAUGGACAGAUUAAAUUCUGAUCCAAAUCUGAGAAUCCUUCUGGCACUGCAAGGAACUAAAUUCAUUUCUGCACAUUGCAUGUGAUGGCCUGAGGAUGAGGAUCGACUUGACAACACAUGAUAUGUAUUUAUUAGCUCUGUCCAGUGCAGUUGCAGCACUCUGCUACUGCUUUAUCUGAGCGCCUUAACCAUUGUGUCCAAGUGGAGAGAUUUGGUCUUAGCUAGUUUCCCUUCUGUUCAUAUCCACUUGAAGCCCCUCCUCUCCUCACCACGAUCGAAACUUACUCCUGAACUGACUGACCAGGAGAACAUUCAUCCAUCUCAAAGGUUGGAGGCAGUUUCAGUUUUGUCUCUAGUUUAUUUACUUGUUAACUAGCUGUUUCUCCUACUUAAUUUGAACUUCUCUUUCCUCUAUUACACAGCAAAAGGCAGCAGAAAGAGAGUCCUUAAUGGCGAUGGUCCUGGAUGCUUUUGCAUCCUACCUGCAAGGCAUGCUGACCGAGAUGGCGGCGGAUGCGAUACAUCUGCUGCUCGGAGUCUCCGUCGAGAUUGACAAGAUGAGUGAUAAGCUAGGGGACCUCAAGAACUUCCUUGCCGAUGCUGAUAGGAGGAACAUCACCGACAAGAGCGUGCAGGGGUGGGUGACGGAGCUCAAGCGCGCCAUGUAUGACGCCACCGACAUCCUCGACCUCUGCCAGCUCCAGGUCAUGGAGCGUGGAGAGUCCACUGUGGAUGCAGGAUGCUGCAAUCCCUUCCUCUUCUGCAUAAGGAAUCCCUUCCAUGCUCAUGACAUGGGCACCCGCAUCAAGGCGCUCAAUGAGAGGCUCGACAGCAUUGGGAAGCGGAGUGCUACAUUCAAAUUCAUCGAUCUUGGGUCUUAUGAAGACCGUGGCAGGAAUAUGCAUGCCUCUCGUCAUGGCAAUCCUAAUCGGGAAACGUCAGGGGAGCUCGACCAGUUGGGUGUGGUCGGAGAGAAGAUCGAAGAAGACACAAGGGCAUUGGUGGACAAGAUCUUGCAGACACGCGAGGGUGUCACCAACAACAUCAUGGUGUUCGCCAUUGUAGGCGUCGGUGGGAUUGGCAAGACCACCCUUGCCCAGAAUGUCUUCAACAACCAAUCCAUUCAAAGUGAGUUCGACAAGAUGAUAUGGUUGAGCAUUAACCAGAACUUCGACCAGACUGAGUUGCUCAGAACAGCCAUCACCCAUGCCGGGGGAGACCAUUGUGGUGAAAAAGUAUUGUCCGUGCUUCAACCAAUCCUUACCAAGGCACUAAAAGGGAAGAAGUUCUUUCUGGUGAUGGAUGAUUUGUGGAGUCAUGGAUCGUGGGAGGGUGUGCUUCAAACACCCUUAGUCAAUGCUGCUGCUUCUGGCAGCCGAGUUCUCAUCACUACUAGAGAUGAAGCUGUUGCCCGAGGGAUGACAGCCACAUGGCCCCACCACUACAUCGACACAUUAUCGCCUGAUGAUGCUUGGUCAUUGCUCAAGAAACAGGUACGAAAAUAGUUAAACACUAGUGUCUUAAUCAAGUGAGAAAUCUUGUCUUCAUCUAUUUAUUAUGAGACUAGCUAGGUAGUUAAGAGAAUUAUGCUUUCAGAUUAAUAUGGGCGUUAAUUCUUUGUAAUUCGGUUGGUUAUUUCUACUAUUAUCUCCUGGGAGGUAUAUAAGAGGCUGCCAGAAUUCUCUUAACUUAGUUUGAUCUUUUACAUACAUGAAGAAGUAAAUAAUUAUGUUGUUGGAGCAUAUACGGAAACAAGAGAGUGUUUAUACUCCCUCCUUUUCACAAAGAAUGGUACCCAUACAUUUUGAGGUCGAACUUUGACCAACAAUUAGACCAAUAAUAUAUAGAUUAUAUGUUACCAAAUUUAUAUCGCUGGAAACGCUUUUGAAAUAGAAUCUAAUGAUAUAAUUUUUGUAGCACAUAACCCUCAAAUCAUUACUCUAAUUGUUGGUCAAAGUAAAAUCUCGAAAUGUGUGCGUGCCAUUCUUUGUGAAAAGGAGAGAGUAUAUCAUAGCACCAAUUCGAUUUUCCAUACUUUAUUCACGCCUUUGUAAAGGUUCAUUAAUGACAUUGAGAUGUUAUUUUGUUGUAGAACUUAAUCCAGCAACGAACAUGUCAUUUUUUACCAAUGAAGAAAUAUAGGUUGUAUGUUCCUGCACUACCCAACCCGACCCGCUAACCCGGUUCUUUUUUUCCCUACGGUACCGACUCCCUCCGCCCCUGAUUCUUGCUCAGUUCAGUCACGCAAUCCCCAUCAUGUUCGUCACACUCGUUGAUAUGCUAAAAUGCAAGAUAGAUGGCACCGACUUCAUCAUCGAUCAUUCUUCCCCUGUAGUUUUAGAGCCCACGUAGCCCUGAAGCAUCACCAGUCGGACACACCACCUGGCACACCCUUCUUUCUUUUUUUUAUCGCUCUGCGGAAGAAAAAAAAAUCUAAACAACAAGCUCUUUCUUACAUACCACUACUACGGCUGGCUACAAGCUCUUCCUUUCACCAGGCAGUAGCGCCUCCUCGCUCAGCCAGCACACACAACACAACACACCAAUACCUCUGUUUAGCAAACAAAGAGCAUGACAUUUUUUUUUUUUGAGAACCCAAAGAGCAUGAUAUUGUUUAGCUAUUGGUGUGCUGUUCACUAGAACAGUUUGUUGAGGCUUGUUGCACCUCAACAGCUGCUCACCAGAACACACGAAAUACUCCUCUUGUCUGCAGGACACACUAAUCACACUCCAACAUUUCCAUACUUUGGAUAUUUACAUAAUCAAAAAAAUAUCCUUGAUCAGUGGGUGAUUAGAUAAUCAAAUACUCCUUUUGUCUCUUCAGAGCUAAAUUUGAACGUCUUGAAAAGAGUUUCUACCCAGUUAAUUAGCUCUACGGUCUGUAUGUUUGCAGGUAGUACUCUCAGGUGAAAGAGAUGAAUACGACGUCAAUAUCCUGAAGGAUAUCGGAUUGAAAAUCAUACAAAAAUGUGGUGGUUUGCCACUUGCCAUCAAAGUAAUGGGAGGACUCUUGCGUCAAAGGGAGAUGCAUCGUCGUGACUGGGAGCAGGUUUUGGAUAAUUCUGAUUGGUCAACUAGUAAAAUGCCCGAAGAUCUCAAUAAUGCAGUAUACUUGAGCUAUCAAGAUAUGCCUCCUGAACUGAAGCAGUGCUUUCUAUACUACUCUCUUCUUCCUAAAAGUAGAGGGUUUAAUGUGGAUCAAGUUGUUGCAAUGUGGAUUGGUGAAGGAUUUAUUCCUGGAAACUCUAAUCAUCUAGAAGAAACGGGAAGAAAUUACUAUGAGGGGUUGUUAUCUAGGAACCUUAUACAGCUAGAUGAGCUAGAUGAUUUUCUUUUUCAUCAAAAGUUUUGCAGCAUGCAUGAUGUUGUUCGCUCAUUUGGUCAAUAUAUGGCUAGAGAUGAAGCACUCGUAGCUCAGGAUGGAGAAAUUGAUAUUCUUGACAAACUUAAUUCCAAGAAGUUUCUUCGGUUGUCUAUACAAUUAGAAACCGACGAAGUGCAAUCAGAUGAUUUGGAUUGGGUAUCUUUGCGAGAGCAGCAGCAAUCAAUGAGAACAUUAAUCUCAACUGUCCCAAUCAAGAUGAAGCCUGGUGACUCAUUGGUUACUUCUUCGAGUCUACGGACUCUAUAUAUAGACUCUGAAGAUGUGGCUUUAGUUGAAUCGUUGCAUCAACUCAAGCACCUGAGGUAUUUGAAUCUCAUCUCAGGAAAAUGGAAUCAAGCAAAUACUGGUAUAUCUGCACUUCCAGAGGAUAUUGGCAAGAUGAUUUUUUUGCAGUACCUUGGCAUUAAUAAUUGUAAAAAUUUGGUGAGUCUUCCUGACAGCAUUGUGAAGCUUGGCCAUCUGAGAUACGUUAACCUUCCGGAGAAAGUAAGUAUGAUACCUAGAGGGUUCCGUGGUCUGACAAAUAUGAGAAUUCUAUGUGGGUUUCCAGCUCUUGUGGAUGGUGACUGGUGCAGUUUGGAUGAGUUGGGGCCUCUUUCCCAACUCAGAUUUCUGAGACUAGUAAAACUGGAGAAUGCAUCUUCUGCUGCUAAUGCUAGCCUUAGUGAGAAGAAACAUCUUACCAACCUACUCUUGCACUGCACCCCAAGAGAGAAGCUGAAUGAAGAUGAGCAGCAACGGAUAGAGAAGGUGUUCAAUGAGCUCUGCCCUCCGUCCAGUGUUGAAAAUCUUGAUAUUUAUGAUUAUUUUGGCAAGAAACUCCCGAGCUGGAUGAUGUCCACACCAAGGGUGCCCCUGAACAACUUGAAGUCUCUGUUGUUGUGUCACCUAGCUUGCUGCACCCAACUUCCCGAUGGGUUGUGCCAUCUCCCCUGUCUGCAGGUGCUUGAGGUUGUCCGCGCUCCAUGCAUCAAGCGUGUUGGAAAUGAAUUCUUGCAUACCUCUCAGGCGACAGCAGUUCCAUUUCCGAGAUUGCAAAAGAUGCUCUUAAAUGGAAUGAUGGAAUUGGAGGAGUGGGAGUGGGAGGAGAAAGUUCAAGCCAUGCCCCGUUUGGAGGAGCUUUUGCUCUGGAAUUGCAAACUGCGGCGUGUUCCUCCUGGACUUGCCUCCAAUGCAAGGGCUUUGAGAAAGUUAUCAAUAGAAGAUGUGAAGCAGCUCAGCUACCUUGAGAACUUUCCUUCUGCCGUUGAGCUUACAGUUGAUGAAUGCCCCGACCUGGAGAGGAUCACUAAUCUCCCCAAACUGCAGAAGCUCACCAUCACCAGAUGCCGGAAGCUGAAGUCAGUGAACGACGUGCCUGCACUGCAAAGGCUGGUGCUGCAGGAUGACGAGAUGGAAACUGUCCCUGGAUACUUGAGAGAUGUGAACCCGAGGCAUUUCGAGCUAAGAUGCAGCCUAACGCUGCUCACUUCCAUUGCGGCGGGGGAAUCUGGACCAGAGUUUGCCAAGUUCAGACACGUCGACCAUGUGAAGGCCAGACGGCUAUACACAAGUGAUUUCUACGUGUUGUACACAAGAGGGCCGUGCAGCUUCGACACAAAUGUCAAUCCGUCAUUCCUGUCUAGAGGUAAAUCAUUAUAACUUAUCUGAUUUAUUCGCCAACUCUGUUUUUCAUUUGUAUCUCGGCAUGCUUAGAUUUAUUUUUUAAAGCGUGUGCUCACGCAAUGAGAGUUCCUAGAUGUAAAGUGUUAAUUAGCUAGUGUGAGAAGCGUCCUGCGGGAUCAAGCUGUCAUGUGUGUACGCAAGAGAAAAUAGUGUGUUCUUCCUUUCCUAAUUUCUUUGUGUGCAAUAUAUGGAUUAAUUAUGUAACUUUGUGUUAGUUUUUUUUGGAAUUUGCAUCCGUCAUUCUUUUCUAGAGGUAAACUGAUUUAUUCGCCAUCAUAACAUAUCUCGGCAUUUGUACACUGUACAUGGGACAAGAAAAGGCUCCGGCUAAGGUUCUUGUGAGUUAAUUCUUUGUGUGGGUGUAAUGGUGUAUUCAUGUGAGUCUAACCAUGGACUAGCUAGCUCAACAUGCUCGAGUGUAUAAUCGGACAUGCAUGUACGUAGCGUCAGUUUUUGCAAUUAAUUACUAGCUGUACGUUGUAUGGCUGCCGGGCUGUUAGAUCAAAAUACUACUUUCUCAAUUUCUGGACACAAUCUUUACCCUGCCACUAGUGACACGAUGUUGCCUUGCAAUAUAUGGAUUAAUUAUGUAACCUAUUUUUUGGAAUUUGUUUCCAUGCAGGAACUCUACCUAUUUUUGAGGAUGCACAAAGGCUCGAGUCUGCGCUGAAAAUGCCAAGAAGAGCCUUCGACUACGUCUGCAACUUAUUGAAGGAGAACUCUUGGCAACAUGCGAACAAAUACACCUUUCCCGAUGGGAGGUAUUUGUGUUUAGAAGACGGAGUUGCCGUCGCUCUGAUAGUGCUCAACUCUGGCGAGACACCUGCAACCGUAGGAUCCUCCGUUGCCUUGAAUGAGUCAACCGUCUCGCAGGUAACCGAGAGCUUUGUUGUUGCUAUGGACACACCAGGAUGGCCAGGCACCACUGAAAUGGAGAAGAUCAAGUACAAGUUUGACAAGAUCCGCGGCCUGCCAAACUGCUGCGGUGUUGUACAUGCAGCUCGCAUCCCAUUUGGGUCUCAAAACAGCGACCGUGAGAAGAAGAAUGAAGACCUGCUAAUGCAAGUCGUUGUUGAUUCAGAUAUGAGGUUCAUAGAUGUUCACUUGGGAUCGCCAGACAACAUGAAGGAGUCAAGCAUUUCGCAUGACUCCAAUCUCUUCAAGCGGUGCGAGAAGGGUACUAGGCUGAAUGGUAGCAAGCUGAAUUUAUCGGAUGGACGGCAAGUUGGAGAAUACGUGAUUGGGGAUGCCGGAUAUCCUCUUCUUCCCUGGCUGCUCACACCUUACCACCCGGAGAAUGACCUCUCAGAUUAUCAAGUGGAGUUCAAUAGGAGACAUUCAGAAGCAAUGGCCGUUGUGCCGAGGAGUGCACUGGAAAGAUUGAAAGACACAUGGAAGUUCCUGCAUGGACGGGGGUGGCACCCGGAAGAUCAAUAUGUGCUGCGGAACGCAAUCCAAACAUGCUGCAAGUUGCAUACCAUAGUGAUAGAAAUGGAGUGUAAGGCAGGCACAACGAGCUAUGGCGCCGGUAGCAAAGAAGUACGGCAGUUAGCAGAUGAGGAUGCGGCCAUGGCAAGGGAUAUAUUGUCGCAACAUUUGACCAGCAAACCAUUGGAAUCUGGAGGUAAAUUAACACAACUGCUGCUGCAUCUUAAUUCCCUCAAUCUCUCUAUAUCUUUUCUCUGUCGACCUAAUUAAUGUAAUCUUCUCGUGCUAAUUCAAACUUUCACUGAUAGCCAUGCAUUAUCACUAUAUAUGUGCUCUCACUUAUUUUCUCUGCCGUUCUAUAUAAGUUGCAUAGUUGUGCUUCAGUUUAGUUUGAUCUAUAUAUGUGCUCACAUUAAUCGUCAUUAGCCAUGCAUUAUCACUGUUCAUAUGAUGUCUAUAUAUGUAGCCAUUUCGCGUUUGGGAAAAAAAAUCCAUGCUUAAGAAUGGAUUGGAAUGAUAUGGUUUUCCACAUUUAUUCCUAGAACGCUUGCAUGUGCACGUACGUGAGUUGGAACUACAUGUACGUGUUAAUUAAGUCAGGACGGUAGUGACUCUUAUUUUUUUUUCUAAAGCGUGCUUAGGAGACAAGCACUGGGCCGGACCCGUGUGUAUACUUCCAGCAGUCAACCAGGUCGAUCCCGCCUUUUCUUUUGAGCGAAGUGUCGAUCCCAUCUAUUCUGCUCCCGAGCGUUGCACCACCUUUCAUGGGCGACAAGCCGAGUAACUUCAGCUAUCAGGCCAAGCAGAAGAAACAGACGCAUGCAUGUACAUUUAGUACCACCUCCACCAGCUACUACAAGAGAUCGAAAGAAACAUCUACAAGCCUAUAAAUACAGGCAGGCGGCCGCCGAGAGUCCAAAAAUAAGUGACGUUGGGUUGUAUAAGAAUAUAUACAAAUCCAAAUCACUCCAAAUAAGUGAGUAAUAUCUUUGAAACUGAAUUGAACCAGGCGGUUCAGCAUAAACCGUUCGAUUCGUGGUUUCUAACAAAAACCGGCCGGUAAGCUCUGUUCUGGUUCGGUGGCCGGCCACACCAAUUAAUGUAAGAUAGAAAAUACAUUUUAUUAUAGUAUCUCAUCCUUUCUCCUCUCUCCACCUCACCGGACGUCAGAACGGAGCACAGGGAGAGGGCAGAUGGCACCGCCCACGAGCCAGCAACUGCUGCUAAUCUUCAUCCCACUGCUGGCCACCAGAACCCGAGGCCGCACAAGUGAGCUGCAAAUUUUUGAUUCUCGGGCUAACUUUUGACCCUCCUUAAUUGAACCAAAUAAACUAAAAAUUUAAACACAACUUUUUGAAAAGAGUAAAAUACAUCACUAGUUCAUGAACUCGGCAAAAAUGAACACUUUAGUCCACGAAUUCGGAAAACGCACACUGAAACCCCUAAAUUGGGACUACUUUGUCACUUUAGUCAAAAACAUGCCAUGUGGCCGCCACGUCGGCUUUGGCCAGGACCGCGGGCUGCUACUCGGUUUUCUUAGGAUUUCUUUUGCAAAAUCACCAUGCUUGAGCCGCCCGCGAGGGGCAAGGCAGCCACGCCCAGACAGGGAUCCUGGGGCCUUGAGAACCACGUCGUUGCCGCAGCUGCCUCGCCUAAAGUUGCUAUCAAGUCCACAACGCUCAAUUUUGACAAGAUGACGCCAGUGAAGGGCUCGCCGAAGCCGACGUGGCGGCCACGUGGCGUGUUUAAGUCUCGCCGAACCGUUUGGACUAAAGUGACACAAUGGUUCCAGUUUAGAGGUUUAAGUUUGCGUUUUUUGAGUUCGUGUACUUAAGUGUUCAUUUUUGCCGAGUUCAUGGACUACUGGUGUAUUUUACUCUUUUGAAAAACUAGUUCAUUUAUUUGAACUAAGAAGGGUCAAAGGGUCCCUUGAGGGUCACCAUGUUGAACCUCUACGCACAACUUCUCCGGCCGCCACCGGCACCCCGCAGACCGAUUUUCGUCGGGAAUCAAGACAGUCGCCUCUCGAAUCUUGGCCGUCACCAAACGCCACCAACCGUGAUUGAAGCCGAUUUCGUGGCGAUUCAUGCCGCCACCGCUGCAAUUGGAACCACCGCACUCCACUCGGUCCUCCUCCCAAUGCCCAGCAGCCGCGUGGGCUCAGAGGUGCCGUGGGAGGCGGGUGCAGAGCCCGUGCAUCGGUCGGGCUGCGAGGCGUGGGCUGUCGGCGCAAGCGGCGGCCGUUGGCCGGAGACGGUGGUGCGCUGGAGGAGCACGAAGAAGACAGAGAAGGGGGCUGAUCAGUUCUGGUUGCAGGAGCUCGAGGAUAGGCUUUGGGUUUGGGGGAUAGAGUGAAGCCGUGAGGGACUGCUGGUGGAGAAGAAAAGAUAAUUGCGGGUGUUAUUUGCAAGUUUGACAUUUGAAGAGAUAACCGACGUGUGGACCCAGGCUGACAUGGCAUAAGUCAAACCGCCACGUCAACUGGUCAGAGAGGGGCAAACACACUUAGGACCUACAAUGAACCACUAGCAUUUUCAAAGAUUUAGGACUGAUUUGUCAUCUUUAGGAAAGAAUUAGUGCCGUGGAUGUAUUUUACUUCUUUUUUGCAGUAUUUGGUUGAUAUAUCAGUGUGAUAGUGUGAGAGUAGCAACAAAUUAAUUGAAUAAUAACUGGUGGUGGUGUCCCAAAUUAAAUAUAACAAUAUCAAUUGAAUCUAGCCACACAAAUGCACGGUUCAUUUUGCUAGUUGUUCUAAAAAUUAACACAGAUAAGCAAAACUUUUUUUUACACGUACGAACGUUAGGAGCAAUGUUGUUUGUACGUAGUACUUCGACCGAACAAACGUUACUUUUGCUCAUGUACUGCCGAUUGUCAAAGCUGAGCGACACAGUGGUGGAAGAUGCCUUAUUCUCUUCUAAGCUUUAGAUGUACAUAUAAGCAUUGUGUGUGUAGGAACAGAGUUUUAGAUGUACAUACAUGUAACAAAAGGUACCCUUCAUGUGUGAGAAAGGAGAGUCUUGAUCAUGCAUGCACGUUGAUCAUAAUUUCCAUAUUCAAUGUGCACAAAUGUGUAUUGUGUCGUACGGGAUGUUAUAUGAUGUUCUGAUAUACAGAGUCUGGCUGAUUGGAGCAAUAAUAGUCCCACGAACAGUAUGUGCCAUAUGCAUGCUUGAGGUAGUGUACAUAUAUUCUGUUGAUAGAGUCCAUUUCAAACUGAUCUUGUGUCUAACCACACGAUUGAGUGGCCUACUCUUCUGCGUGCUUGAUCUAGCAAUUACUAGUUGAUUAACACAGCAUGGUUCUUUACUUCAGUUUUCGCAAUUACUACUAGUUAUUGUAGUUCUGAAUUUGUUGGAUGCGGUUUUAAUCCUGUCAUAGCUGAGCUGUUGCCUUCAAGUUAUGGAUUGUGAGACCACUUCUUGCAUCUUCUUCUCGUGCAGGAACCCUGGCUAUUUUUGAGGAUGCGCAAAGACUCGAGUCUGUGUUAAAAAUGCCAAGAACAACCUUCGACUACGUCUGCAGCUUGCUGAAGGAAUCGUCUUUGGAAAUUAUGAACAGCUAUUUCUUUUUCGACAUGAGGUCCUUUUCUUUAGAGGAGCGAGUAGCCAUCGCUCUGAUAAUGCUCAACUCUGGCGACCCACCUGCAACCGUAGGAUGCUAUAUUGGUGUCAACGAGGCAACCGUCUCGCUGGUAACUCGGACGUUUGCCGGGGUUAUGUUGGAGCGAGCAUUGGAACACUUGUGGUGGCCAGGCUCCACCGAAAUAGACAAGAUCAAGUACAAGUUUGACAAGAUCCAUGGCCUACCAAACUGCUGUGGUGUUGUACAUACAGUUCACAUCACAUCUGGAUCACACAACAAAGAUCAUGAGGUGAAUGACGACAUGCUAAUGCAAGCUGUCGUUGAUACAGAUAUGAGGUUCAUAAACACUUGGUUGACAUCGCCAGACAGCAUGAAACAGUCAAGCAUUUUGCAUGACUCUGAGCUUUUCACGGAGUGCGAGAAAGGUACUGGUCUGAAUGGUAGCAAGCUGAAUUUACCGGAUGGAUUGCAAGUUGGAGAAUACAUAAUUGGUGACGCCGGAUAUCCUCUUCUUCCAUGGCUGCUCACACCUUACGAGCUGGAGAAUGAGCUCUCAGAUUCUCAAGUGGAGUUCAAUAGGAGACACUUAGAAGCUACAACCAUUGUGCCGAGGGCUGUAACUAGGUUAAAAGACACAUGGAAAUUCCUGCACGGAGGGGCAUGGCGCCCACAAAAUCAUCAUUGGGCAAUCUAUGCAUGCUUCGUGUUGCAUAACAUAGUGAUACACAUGGAGUGUAAGGCAGGUACAACGAGCUAUAACAGCCAGCAUGUGCGCCGGUUAGCAGAUGAGGACGCGGUGGUGGCAAGGGAUAUAUUGUCGCAACACUUGACCAGAAAACCAUUGGAAUCUGGAGGUAAAUUACAAGUCGGUUUAAAUAGAACGAUUAUUUGCUUCAGUUUGAGCAAUUACUAGUUGUUGUAGGUUGUCGAUCAAUACUACUUACUGAAUUUUGUGGAUACAAUUUUAACACAGUCACAGCCUUGAAAUUUAUGGACACUUUUACAUAUUUUUCCUGUCCAGGAACCCUGACUAUUUUCGAGGACGCACAAAGACUUGAGUCUGUGUUGAAAAUGCCAAGAAGAACUUUCGACUACAUCUGCAGCUUGCUGAAGGAAUCGUCUUUGGAAAUUAUGAACAACUACUUCUUUUUCGAUAUGAGGUUCUUUUCUUUAGAGGAGCGAGUAGCCAUUGCUCUGAUAAUGCUCAACUCUGGCGACCCACCUGCAACUGUAGGAUCCUUUCUUGGAGUGAACGAGUCAACCGUCUCGCUGGUAACCAAGAGCUUUGUUGAUGCCAUGUAUGAGAGAGCAAAGUACCAUGUGUACUGGCCACAAU